UCGCUGCUUGCUUCAUUUUUGUAUGUUUUCUCUGCUUUCUCGCGAUGUGCUGGUCGUGUUGACGUGACUAUGUGUGGUUUGUUUUGUUUGGGUCGGCGGUAGCUGUGGUACUCUUUGUCUUUGGAUGCUCUUCAUCCGCUCCAUCUUAGGAAAAGGUGGUAUGAUUGUAUCAAGUGUGUUGUUCUAGGUGAUGAAUCUGUGUUAGAUUGUUGUGGGUCAGUUUGUCGUUCACAGUGUCUUCAAAAUAUGUCUUUUUUUUGGUAUGAAUUGUGUGCGCAGUUAACUGAUCUGUACUAUGAGUGUCCGAUCUGUGAUUUAAAUCACGCAUGUAACUGAUAUGUACUAUGAGUGUCAUUCUGUAUGCUUAUGAGUAUCAUUCCAUAUACUUGUACACUUCUUGCCCCCCUUGGGUGAGACAGCAAAAGAGAUCUAUACUGUGAGCAUCAUCCUAUAUACUUACGAGUAGCAUUCCAUAUACUUGUACACUUCAUGCCCCCCAUUAGGAAGAAAUCAUACCAUGAGCAUCAUUCUAUAUACUUAGAGCAUCUUUAGCAGUCUCCUAAACCAUAUAUUUUCAUAAAACAUAUCCUAUAUACUUAAAAGAGUCAGCCCCACUAACUUAUUUAUCUCGACAUUCAAGUAUGUCACAUCUUCAUAUAAUUAUGGAUAAGAUAGGACCCACCUCAACAUGCAACAUGCAAGGGUGCACUGAAAAAGAUUCACCACCACAUGCAACUGUGCAUUGAAAAAGAUUCACCACCACGUGCAACUAUACAUGAGAAAAUAUUUUUCAUUCUAUUAUUCUACUUAUAUUCCAACAAAUAUUUUACAACUAUAUACAUAAUCAAAUAUAAUAAGCUUUAUGUAUUUUUCAUUUUGAUUCACAUGUUAUUAAUCUAAAUAUUUACAUUCCACACAAUAAAAUCUCAUCGAAAUAUAUUAUAAGCGGUUCUCACAGCAAUGCGCAGGCUUAGUUUGAGGGAUUAAGGACUAUUUAGGAGAUUAUUACUCAAACCGUCUUUCACAAAAUUAUAAGGAAAACUCGGCUAAGGAAAACUCGCCUAAAACGCAGUCGUUCCGCCUACUUUGACUCCAACCACAACAAGUCGCAGCCUCGCCGGAACGAAAUUGGUAUCGCUGGGGAAGACGAAAUUAGCAUCGCUGUGGAAGAGCGCCUACACGUCGUGGACGUCGUCCAGGGUGAGCUCCACCUUGCGGUGCAUGGCUUGGGGCUCAGGUGCAUGGCUUACCGAUCUCAUGUGUGUGUGGCCAUUGACUCGAGGUCCAUGACGCCAUUGAGGUUGUGGAGGACGGCCCAUCGCUCAUAGGCUGGCUCGAGGUCGCUUGUACAAACUGAAAUUUGGUCGACCGAGGUGUCAUAUCUUGUGGGCGUGUUGUAACGGUUUUCAGCCGGAUUUCUGCAAAUUAACAGGGCAACUCUUUUCUACUUUUUUUAAUGAAUCGGAGUUUUAAGGGAAACGACUUCGGAAGAAAAAUUAUGCUGCUCUGACUGUUGAGAGGUAAAUGUUUCACUGAAUUUUGCUGCUACUAGUGAAUGUUGUGUUGAAUAUAACACAUUUGCGAUUUUCAAACGAGCUUAUGUAAAAACACACCCUGCGAACAUCUCGAGGCGCUUGGCCUUCCUCACUGGCGCAGCCUGGGUGCUCGAUAAAUUGAAUGAACAAAUGUCAAUUUUAGGGGAUUAAGUUCUACAGGAUCUGCUAGAUAAGCAAACAUCAUUUCCCUAAAUAUUUUUUUAGGGAAAUGGGACAGGGAUAAUAUUUUGCACUUUUAGGAUAUGGGACCUACUACAGAUACUCUUAUAGUACAUUUCAGAGAACGGAAACCAAAUCGAGUCCUUGUAGCAAGGAUGACAAUGGCCACUGAGGACUACAUGUGGCGCUUAAGCCUGACGGGAAGGCAAGAAAAGGGAUGGACACAAUGAAGCGAUUGAUGUGGGUGAAAUUGGCAUUAUCACUAGGGGCGUCUGUGGAGACGAAGGGCGGGCAAUUGGGGGAGGUGAGGCAUCGCUUGAUCGAUAAACAUAGGAGGGUGAGGACGAAUGAACGCAAGUUGAGAGGAGAUCAUGCAGGGGUGCACGGAGUUGACAUACGGAGGGGAGCGGGGACAUCCAUGACAGUGGCAGGGCUAAUGCGGGCAUCGCAACGAGGGCAAACCAUAAGAUGCUCGGGAGGGUGAAAGCUAUUGGAGUGCGGUGGUGUAGAUCGAUAGAGAUGGGGAGGAGAAGGGGAAGCAUGGUGCUAAGAUAAAGUAAGAGAGUGAGGUGGAACAUUUUCGUCGCCUCAAGCCUAGNNNNNNNNNNNNNNNNNNNNNNNNNNNNNNNNNNNNNNNNNNNNNNNNNNNNNNNNNNNNNNNNNNNNNNNNNNNNNNNNNNNNNNNNNNNNNNNNNNNNNNNNNNNNNNNNNNNNNNNNNNNNNNNNNNNNNNNNNNNNNNNNNNNNNNNNNNNNNNNNNNNNNNNNNNNNNNNNNNNNNNNNNNNNNNNNNNNNNNNNNNNNNNNNNNNNNNNNNNNNNNNNNNNNNNNNNNNNNNNNNNNNNNNNNNNNNNNNNNNNNNNNNNNNNNNNNNNNNNNNNNNNNNNNNNNNNNNNNNNNNNNNNNNNNNNNNNNNNNNNNNNNNNNNNNNNNNNNNNNNNNNNNNNNNNNNNNNNNNNNNNNNNNNNNNNNNNNNNNNNNNNNCCAGUGACAAUGAGAGAACCACUUCACUCUAUCCAGGUCUAGGUCACUGACAAUCUAGUUGCCACAAAUGCGUCUCACCGGGAAGCAUCGAGUGUGUGUCCCUUAAGCAUGGCAUCACUACUAGGGAAAAGCCUAGCAGUAGCGCGGGUUAUAGAUAUAGCAGUAGCGCGGGGUCCCGCGCUACUGAUACGGCGCUACAGCUAACCUGUAGCAGCAACGUGAAGGAAAUAUGCCCUAGAGGCAAUAAUAAAGUUGUUAUUUAUAUUUACUUAUAUCAUGAUAAAUGUUUAUUAUUCAUGCUAGAAUUGUAUUAAUCGGAAACUUAGUACAUGUGUGAAUACAUAGACAAACAGAGUGUCACUAGUUUGCCUCUACUUGACUAGCUCGUUGAAUCAAUGAUGGUUAUGUUUCCUAACCAUAGACAUGAGUUGUCAUUUGAUUAACGGGAUCACAUCAUUAGAGAAUGAUGUGAUUGACUUGACCCAUCCGUUAGCUUAGCACGAUGAUCGUUUAGUUUGUUGCUAUUGCUUUCUCCAUAACUAUACAUGUUCCUAUGACUAUGAGAUCAUGCAUCUCCCGAAUACCGGGGAACACAUUGUGUGCUACCAAACGUCACAACGUAACUGGGUGGUUAUAAAGGUGCUCUAUAGGUGUCUCCGAUGGUAUUUGUUGAGUUGGCAUGGAUCAAGAUUAGGAUUUGUCACUCCGAUUGUCGGAGAGGUAUCUCUGGGCCCUCUCGGUAAUGUACAUCACAAUAAACCUUGCAACCAAUGUAGCUAAUGAGUUGGUUACGGGAUGUAGCAUUACAGAACGAGUAAAGAGACUUGCCGGUAACGAGAUUGAACUAGGUAUUGAGAUACCGACGAUCGAAUCUCGGGCAAGUAACAUACGGAUGACAAAGGGAAUAACGUAUGUUGUUAUGCGGUUUGACCGAUAAAGAUCUUCAUAGAAUAUGUAGGAACCAAUAUGAGCAUCCAGGUUCCACUAUGGUUAUUGACUGGAGAUGAGUCUCGGUCAUGUCUACAUAGUUCUCAAACCCGUAGGGUCCGCAGGCUUAACAUUCGGUGAUGAUCGGUAUUAUGAGUUUAUGUGUUUUGAUGUACCGAAGGUAGUUCGGAGUCCCAGAUUUGAUCACGGACAUGAAGAGGAGUCUCGAAAUGGUAAAGACGUAAAGAUCAAUAUAUUGAAAGCCUAUGUUUGGACAUCGGAAUGGUUUCGGGUGAAAACGGGAGUAUACCGGAGCUCCGGGAGGUUACCGGAACCCCCCGGGAGGUAUAUGGGCCUUAUUGGGCCUUAGUGGGAGAGAGGGGAAAGGAGCAAAGGAGCCCCCCCCCCCCAAUCCCAAUCCGAAUUGGGAGGCCCCCCCUUUCCUUCCUUCUCUCCUAAAUCCAACAAGGCAAGGGGGGAAUCCUACUCCCGGUGGGAGUAGGACUCCCCUUGGGGCACGCCUAGGAGGCCGGCCCCCUCCCCCUCCUCCACUCCUUUAUAUACGGGGGAGGGAGGCACCCCAUGGACACACAGGUUGAACAUUGAUCUUUUAGUUGUGUGCGGUGCCCCCCUCCACCAUAAUCCACCUCGGUAAUAUCGUAGCGGUGCUUAGGCGAAGCCCUGUUCCGGUAGCAACAUCAUCACCGUCAUCACGCCGUCGUGUUGACGAAACUCUCCCUCGAAGCUCUACUGGAUCGUGAGUUCGCGGGACGUCACCGAGCCGAACGUGUGCAGAUCGCGGAGGUGCCAUACCUUCAUGCUAGAUCAGUCGAUCGUGAAGACGUACGACUACAUCAACCGCGUUGUCAUAACACUUCCGCUUACGGUCUAUGAGGGUACAUAGACGAUACUCUCCCCUCUCGUUGCUGUGCAUCACCAUGAUCUUGCGUGUGCGUAGGAAUUUUUUUGAAAUUACUGCGUUCCUCGACAGUGGCAUCCGAGCCAGGUCUAUGCGUAGAUGUUAUAUGCACAAGUAGAACACAAAGGAGUUGUGGGCGUGGGUAUAUACAUAUUUAUUGGCGUCACUAGUUGAUUCUUGAUUCGGCGGUAUUGUUGGAUGAAGCGGCUCAGACCGACAUUACGCAUACGCUUACGCGAGACUGGUUCUACCGACGUGCUUCACACACAGGUGGCUAGUGGGUGUCUGUUUCUCCAAUUUUAGUUGAAUCAGAUUCAAUGAACAGGGUUCUUUCUAUAGAUCAAAAAGCAAUCACUAUACCGCGUUAUGAUUUUUUGAUGCGUAGGUAAGAACGGUUCUUGCUAAGCCCGUAGCAGGCACAUAAAACUUGCAACAACAAAGUAGAGGACGUCUAACUUGUUUUUGCAGGGCAUGUUGUGAUGUGAUAUGGUCAAGACAUGAUGAGAUAUAAAUUGUUGUAUGAGAUGAUCAUGUUUUGUUAAAGUUAUCGAAAACUGGCAGGAGCCUUAUGGUUGUCUCUUUAUUUCAUAAGAUGCCAACGCCGUAUAAUUGCUUUACUUUAUCGUUGUGCGAUAGCAAUAGUUGCAAAAGCAAUAGUUGAUGACACGUUGAUAGAGAUCAUGAUGAUGGAGAUCAUGGUGUCAUGCCAGCAACGAUAGAGAUCAUGACGGUGUUUUAGAGAUGGAGAUCAAAGGCACAAGAUGAUGAUGGCCGUAUCAUGUCACAUAUUUUGAUUGCAUGUGAUGUUUAUCCUUUAUGUAUCUUAUUUUGCUUAGUUCGGCAGUAGCAUUAUAAGAUGAUCUCUCACUAAAUUUCAAGGUAUAAGUGUUCUCCCUGAGUAUGCACCGUUGUGACAGUUCGUCGUGCCGAGACACCACGUGAUGAUCGGGUGUGAUAAGCUCUACGUUCACAUACAACGGGUGCAAACCAGUUUUGCACACGCGGAAUACUCGGGUUAAACUUGACGAGCCUAGCAUAUGCAGAUAUGGCCUCGGAACACUGGAGACCGAAAGGUCGAGCGUGAAUCAUAUAGUAGAUAUGAUCAACAUAGUGAUGUUCACCAUGGAAAACUACUCCAUCUCACGUGAUGAUCGGACAUGUUUUAGUUGAUUUGGAUCACGUGAUUAUUUAGAUGACUAGAGGGAUGUCUAUCUAAGUGGGAGUUGUUAAGUAAUAUGAUGAAUUGAACUUUAAUUUAUCAUCAACUUAGUCCUGAUAGUAUUUGCAUAACUAUGUUCUAGAUCAAUAGCUUGCGCUGUAGCUCCCCGUUUAUUUUUUGAUAUGUUCCUAGAGAAAAACUAUGUUGAAUAAUGAUAGUAGCAAUGAUGUGGACUAGAUCCGUGAUCUGAGGAUUAUCCUCAUUGCUGCAAAAAAGAAUUAUGACCUUGAUGCACCGCUAGGUGACGGACCUAUUGUAGGAGCAGAGGCAAACGUUAUGAACAUUUGACAAAGCUCGGUAUGAUGACUACUUAACAGUUUAGUGCACCAUACUUUACGGCUUAGAACCGGGACUUUAAAAAUGUUUUUGAACGCCACGGAGCAUAUAAGAUGUUCUAAGAGUUGAAGUUGGUAUUUCAUACUCAUCCCCGUGUCGAGAGGUAGGAGACCUCUGACAGUACUUUGCCUACAAGAUGGAGGAGAAUAGCUCAACCAGUGAGCAUGUGCUUAGAUUGUCUGGGUACUACAAUUGCUUGAAUAAAGUGGGAGUUAAUCUUCUAGAUAAGAUAGUAAUUGACAAAGUUCUCUAGUCACUAUCACCAAGUCACUGGAACUUCGUGAUAAACUAUAAUAUGCAAGGGAUGACGAAAAUGAUUCCCGAGCUCUUCGUGAUGCUGAAAUCGACGAAGGUAGAAAUUAAGAAAAGCAUCAAAAGUUGAUGGUUGACAAGACCACUAGUUUAAAGUAAAAGGGCAAGGGAAAGAAAGAGGAACUUCAAAGAAGAAUAGCAAGCAAGUUGAUGCUCCCAUGAAGAAGCCCAAAGCUAGACCAUAGCCUGAAACUGAGUGCUUCUACUUCAAAGGAAAUGGUCACUCAAAGUGGAACUGCCCUAGAUACUUGGCGGAUAAGAAGGAUGGCAAAGUGAACAAAAGUAUAUUUGAUAUACAUGUUAUUGAUGUGUACUUUACUAGUGUUUAUAGAAACCCCUCAGUAUUUGAUACUGGUUCAGUUGCUAAGAGCAGUAACUCGAAACGGGAGUUGCGAAAUAAAUAGAGACUAGUUAAGGGCGAGGUGAUGAUGUAAGUUGGAAGUGAUUCCAAGGUUUAUAAGAUCACCACCAUCGCACACUCCCUUUACCUUCAAGAUUAGUGUUGAACCUAAAAUAAAUGUUAUUUGGUGUUUGCGUUGAGCAUAAAUAUGAUUGGAUCAUGUUUAUUGCAAUACGGUUAUUCAUUUAAGUCAAAGAAUAAUUAUCGUUCUAUUUACAUGAAUAAAACCUUCUAUGGUCAUACACUCAAUAUAAAUGGUUUAUUGAAUCUCGAUCAUAGUGAUACACAUACUCCUAAUAUUGAAGCCAAAAAGAUGCAAAGUUAAUAAUGAUAGUGCAACUUAUAUGUGGCACUGUCGUUUAGGUCAUAUUGGUGUAAAGCGCGUGAAGAAACUCCAUGCUGAUGGAUUUUGGAAUCACUUGAUGCUUGCGAACCAUGCCUCAUGGGCAAGAUGACUAAGGCUCCGUUCUCCGGAACAAUGGAGUGAGCAACAGACUUCUUGGAAAUAAUGCAUACUGAUGUGUGCGGUCCAAUGAGUGUUGAGGCUCGCGGCGGGUAUCAUUAUUUUCUGACCUUUACAGAUGAUUUGAGCAGAUAUGGGUAUAUCCACUUGAUGAAACAUAAGUCUGAAACAUUUGAAAAGUUCAAAGAAUUUCAGAGUAAAGUGGAAAAUCAUUGUAACAAGAAAAUAAAGUUUCUACGAUCUGAUCACGGAAACAAAUAUUUGAGUUACGACUUUGGUCUUCAUUUGAAACAAUGUAGAAUAGUUUCGCAACUCACGCCACCUGGAACACCACAGCAUAAUGGUGUGUCCGAACAUCGUAAUCGUACUUUAUUGGAUAUGGUGCGAUCUAUUAUGUCUCUUACCGAUUUACCACUAUCAUUUUGGGGUUAUGCAUUAGAGACAACUGCAUUCAUAUUAAAUAGGGCACCAUCUAAAUCUGUUGAGACGACACCGUAUGAACUACGGUUUGGCAUGAAACCAAAGCUGUCAUUUCUUAAAUUUUGGGGUUGCGAUGCUUAUGUGAAAAGGUUUCAAACUGAUAAGCUCGAACCCAAAUCAGAGAAGUGCGUCUUCAUAGGAUACCCAAAAGAAAUUGUUGGGUACACCUUCUAUCACAGAUCCGAAGGCAAGAUAUUUUCUUGCUAAGAAUGGAUCCUUUCUAGAGAAGGAGUUUCUCUCGAAAGAAGUGAGUGGGAGGAAAGUAGAACUUGAUGAGGUAAUUGUACCUUCUCCUAAAUUGGAAAGUAAUUAAUCACAUAAAUCAGUUCCAGUGAUUCCUACACCAAUUAGUGAGGAAGCUAAUGCUGGUGAUAAUGAAACUUCAGAUCAAGUUACUACCGAACCUCGUAGAUCAACCAGAGUACGGUCCGCACCAGAGUGGUACGGCAAUCCUGUUCUGGAAGUAAUGUUACUAGACCAUGACGAACCUACAAACUAUCAGGAAGCGAUGAUGAGCCCUGAUUCCGUGAAAUGGCAUGAGGCCAUGCAAUCUGAGAUGGGAUCCAUGUAUGAGAACAAAGUAUGGACUUUGAUUGACUUGCCCGAUGAUCGGUGAGCCAUAGAGAAUAAAUGGAUCUUCAAGAGGAAGAUGGAUGCUGAUGGUAGUGUCACUAUCUACAAAGCUUGACUAGUCACAAAAGGUUUUCGACAAGUUCAAGGUGUUGACUACGAUGAGAUUUUCUCACUCAUAGCGAUGCUCAAGUCUGUCCGAAUCAUGUUAGCAAUUGCCACAUUUUAUGAAAUCUGGUAAAUGGAUGUCAAAACUGCGUUCCUUAAUGGAUUUCUUAAAGAAGAGUUGUAUAUGAUGCAACCAUAAGGUUUCGUCGAUCCUAAAGGUGCUAACAGAGUGAGCAAGCUCCAAUGAUCCAUCUAUGGACUGGUGCAAGCAUCUCGGAGCUGGAAUAUAUGCUUUGAUAAAGUCAUCAAAGCAUAUGGUUUUAUACAGACUGGCGGUGAAGCCUGUAUUUACAAGAAAGUGAGUGGGAGCACUACAGCAUUUUUGAGAAGUAUAUGUGAAUGGCAUAUUGUUGAUCGGAAAUAAUUAGAAUUUUAUGGAAAUCAUAAAGGAAUGUUUGAAAGGAGUUUUUCAAAGAAAGACCUCGGUGAAGCUACUUACAUAUUGAGCAUUAAGAUCUAUACAGAUAGAUCAAGACACUUGAUAUAUUUUCAAUGAGUACAUACCUUGACAAGAUUUUGAAGUAGUUCAAAAUGGAACAGUCAAAGAAGGAGUUCUUGCCUGUGUUGCAGGGUGUGAAGUUGAGUAAAGACUCAAAACCCGACCACGACAGAAAAUAGAAAGAGAAUGAGAAGUCAUUCCCUAUGCCUCAGUCAUAGGUUCUACAAAGUAUGCUAUGCUGUGUACCAGACCUAUUGUGUACCUCACCAUAAGUUUGGCAAGAGGGUACAAUAGUGAUCCAGGAGUGGAUCACUAGGCAGAGGUCAAAAAUAUCCUUAGUGGAAUAAGGAAAUGUUUAUCGAUUAUGGAGGUGACAAAGAGUUCGUCGUAAAGAGUUACGUCGAUGCAAGCUUUGACACCGAUCUGGAUGACUCUAAGUCCCGACCUAGAUACAUAUUGAAAGUGGGAGCAAUUAUCUAGAGUAGCUCCGUGCAAAGCAUUGUAGACAUAGAAAAUUUGCAAAAUACAUACGGCUCUGAAUGUGGCAGACCCGUUGACUAAAUUUCUCUCACAAGCAAAACAUGAUCACUCUUUGGGUGUUAAUCACAUAGUGAUGUGAAAUAGAUUAUUCACUCUAGUAAACCGUUUGGGUGUUAUUCACAUGGAGAUUUGAACUAAUCAUAUAAAGAUGUCAACUAUUGGUGUUAAACCACAUGACGAUGUGAACUAGAUUAUUGACUCUAGUGCAAGUGGGAGACUGAAGGAAAUAUGCCCUAGAAGCAAUAAUAAAGUUGUUAUUUAUAUUUCCUUAUAUCAUGAUAAAUGUUUAUUAUUCAUGCUAGAAUUGUAUUAACCGGAAACUUAGUACAUGUGUGAAUACAUAGACAAACAGGGUGUCACUAGUUUGCCUCUACUUGAUUAGCUCAUUGAAUCAAUGCUUGUUAUGUUUGCUAACCAUAGACAUGAGUUGUCAUUUGAUUAACGGGAUCACAUCAUUAGAGAAUGAUGUGAUUGACUUGACCCAUCAGUUAGCUUAGCACGAUGAUCGUUUAUUUUGUUGCUAUUGCUUUCUCCAUAACUAUACAUGAUCAUAUGACUAUGAGAUCAUGCAACUCCCGAAUACCAGAGGAACACUUUGUGUGCUACCAAACGUCACAAUGUAACUGGGUGAUUAUAAAGGUGCUCUAUAGGUGUCUCCGUUGGUGUUUGUUGCGUUGGCAUAGAUCAAGAUUAGGAUUUGUCACUCCGAUUGUCGGAGAGGUAUCUCUGGUCCCUCUCGGUAAUGUACAUCACAAUAAGCCUUGCAAGCAAUGUAGCUAAUGAGUUAGUCACAGGAUGUAGCAUUACGGAAUGAGUAAAGAGACUUGUCAAUAACGAGAUUGAACUAGGCAUUAAGAUACCGACGAUCGAAUCUCAGGCAAGUAACAUACCGAUGACAAAGGGAAUAACGUAUGUUGUUAUGCGGUUUGACUAAUAAAGAUCUUCGUACAAUAUGUAGGAACCAAUAUGAGCAUCCAGGUUCCGCUACUGGUUAUUAACCAAAGAUGAGUCUCGGUCAUGUCUACAUUGUUCUUGAACCCGUAGGGUCCGCACGCUUAACGUUCGGUGACGAUCGGUAUUACGAGUUUAUGUGUUUUGAUGUACCGAAUGUAGUUUGGAGUCCCGGAUUUUAUCACAGACAUGAUGAGGAGUCUCAAAAUGGUCGAGGCGUAAAGAUCGAUAUAUUGGAAGCCUAUGUUUGGACAUCGGAAUGGUUCCGGGUGAAAACGGGAGUAUACCGGAGCACCGGGAGGUUACCGGAACCCCCCGGGAGCUAUAUGGGCCUUAUUGGGCCUUAGUGGGAGAGAGGGGAAAGGAGCAAAGGAGGGGCGUGCCCCCCAAGCCCAAUCCGAAUUGGGAGGGGGCCUGACCCUCCUUUCCUUCCUCCUCCCUCCUCCUUCCUUCUCUCCUAAAUCCAACAAGGCAAGGGGGGAAUCCUACUGCCAGUGGGAGUAGGACUCCCCUUGGGGCAAGCCUAGGAGGCCGGCCCCCUCCCCCUCCUCCACUCCUUUAUAUACGGGGGAGGGGGGCACCCCAUGGACACACAUGUUGAUCAUUGAUCUUUUAGCCAUGUGCGGUGCCCCCCUCCACCAUAAUCCACCUCGGUAAUAUCGUAGCAGUGCUUAGGCGAAGCCCUGUUCUGGUAGCAACAUCAUCACCGUCAUCACGCCGUCGUGUUGACGAAACUCUCCCUAGAAGCUCUACUAGAUCGUGAGUUCGCGGGACGUCACCGAGCCGAACGUGUGCAGAUCGUGGAGGUGUCGUACCUUCGGUGCUAGAUCGGUCGAUCGUGAAGACGUACGACUACAUCAACCGCGUUGUCAUAACGCUUCCGCUUACAGUCUACGAGGGUACAUAGACGAUACUCUCCCCUCAUUACUAUGCAUCACCAUGAUCUUGCUUGUGCGUAGGAUUUUUUUUUGAAAUUACUGCGUUCCUCGACAGAGCGCGUGUCUGCCCGCGCUACUGUUAUACAAGCGUAGCAGUAGUGAGCGGUAUGGAAGCGCGCUACUACUAAUAGCUCUAGCGCUAUUUAUUAGACUGCGCUACUGCUAGUGGCACGCUGCUGCUAAAUUUUCUUCACUCGCUACUGCUAAUUUUAUUUGUUUUUGUUUUUUCUGUAUAUUUGUCUUGUAUUUGAAUAGGCUUUAUACAAGAAUCUUUAGCAUAUCAUACACAUACAAAUGUAACCAUAGCAUCAAAUCAUGUCAUCAUCAUAAUCAUCAUCCAACACAAAGUGGUCUCUCGUCAUCAUCUUGAAAAUAGCGAUACAAGUCUCGAUUACUUGCAACUACAUCGUCAUCCAUCUAAACAAUGAUAUACGAAAGAAGAGCUAUCACUAUGAGUGAGAGCGAAACUAUGUUGUACAUGAGUUCGUAUCCCUCUCUCGCAUUAGCGUGAACCUAAACUAACUACUGGCUGUUGCUUGGAAGCUGAAAACUGGUACACCUGUUGCACUUCUUCAUCAUCGAUGAUUUAUGCACCUGCAUCGUCACAUGAGUCGAUGCUAUGCAACAUACAUAGUUGAGCAACAGAAAGAGACAGACUUGGCAAAAAUAGAAGCAACAUAUCAUAAGCAUAAAUAACAAAGUUCAUCGUACCCAAAAUGCCCUAACCAGAGUGAUCUUCGCUAGUUGAGGAGGGCGGUUUAAUUACAUCACAAAUAAAGUUUCAUCAUGCAUAACUCAAAGGUUCGUCAUUCAGAAUGUAUGGACUAAACAGACACAUUGUCAUAUAUCGACAAUCACUCCAACAUGUCGUUCCAUCCAUCCAAGUCAGGAGAUAGUCCCCGAGCUUAGUGAAAAGCUUCAGGUCGAGACACUGAGCGCCUACGCCUGUUCGGACUUCUUCCCGCGACAUUUUCCCUUCCUCAUAUAAUAGACCUGUUUUGUCGAGGACCUCCUUCAUGAUGACUUGGGCAAGUUCAUGCUGGAUGUGAUAGAACUCGGCUUGAAGUCAAUGAUCCGGGAUAUCUCCUAUGUUCUUUGCCCAUUGCAGAAUAUGGGCAUCGCCGGAUUUAGGUGACAUGUGAAGGUCCUGAUGAUCCUGUCUGUACUCCAGCAUGUGGUGUAGGACAUAGAAUCCAUCACUAAGAGAAUCACUCGGUUGCUGGAUGCAGCAGAAGUCGGUCUUAUGGCCGAAGGCCGGCCUGUCGUCCCUUUUCUGCUUGUCCUUGACCUCUCCACCCCGUACGCUGUAGUAAAACAUAGCACAGUCGAGAACAGUCUUGAUGUGGGUGUAAUCCUUUUUGUUCAUGUUCUUUGACAAGUCCAAGUAAAGAGCGUGGGAGUGCCGGGGGUAAAGGAUGAUGAGGAUGGUGCGCCCACCGCUACGCAAAAUAAGUACACCUCAAAUUAAUUAGCCUCCACCGUGCAAAUGAAGAUUGAAAUCGAAGGAAGUAUAUCUGCGCGGAUGACUUACAGGGGAUGAUAAGGAACGAGAAUCGCCUCCUUGUCCUUAUUAGCGACCAUGAAAUCGAUGAUGCAGUCCCUCGCGUAUUCACGGUGCUCUGCGCAGACUGCCAAGAAGCCCUCGUGCAUGUAGUACGGGUCAGAGACACACAUAUAAGGUAUCUGCUCAAACCCGAUGAUGUAGUUCAUGUACAAGGCAUAAAGGCGGACAAACAUAAAUCCAGCUUCUUCAAGUGAAACAUGUCGAAGAUGUAAUCGAAUCGAAGGAAGAACUUGUCCGUGGGGCAUGAGUGGAUGUACGAGCUUUGCCGCGGCACGUUAACCACAUAGAGUCGGUAUCCUGGAUUUUCCAAGGCGAUGAGGCUUUUCUCUCUCCGGAGCACAUCCUCAUGAAGUCCCCUUAGAUUGCCGUGUGUGGCCUCUAACACUGCCUUAGGUAGGAAUGGUUCACUGGCGACAUGCCAUUUUGCCGCACCGGGGAUAGGUAUACGGUCUUUAACCCGAGGCUGCUGAGGCGGCUGGAUCAUAGAAGCAACUUUGUUGCCUUUCCUCCGUCUCUUACUAUACUUCUUUCAUACUGGAAGUUCGUCUAUAAUAUGUUCAACCUCCGGAGGCGGCAAUUCAUGCACCGACUCAUGACGCUCAAACCCCGAGUACUCAUCAUAGGCGCAAGUAUUGAGAUAUUGUUCAGUGUUAUCGUCAUCCUCAUCCUCAUCUAUGCCGAUGUGAUCAGCGACUAAUGGAGCCUCUUCCUCACCCCGUCCGCUAUCACCCAGCAGGACAGCCGACGCUAAUUGGGUAGGUGGGGUGUUGAUGUUCAUACCUUGCUGAGGCUGCGUGCUCGUGGGUGUGCUCCCGGCCGCCUCCAAACAAAGCAGACUCUUUGGCCACAAUAGGACGCACCCAUAGCAACCAACAUGCCGCCGCGGGGUCUCGUCGUCAUCCCCCUAGUACCGGAGGAGCCAAAUUCUUGUGGCCCAGUUUGACACUGACCACGGAAACCUUGAAGACGUUAGGGGGGAUCGGGCGGCUAUGGAACAAUGGUUCCUUCGGCUUCAUUAUCGUCGCCUUCCCCACGUCCACCUUUUGGUCGUCGAUGGUGUACAAUAUGGUGCACGGGGUUACGUCGGCCUGAAAAGACAUGUCUGCGAUGUGAGACAUCCGAAAGGCAACGAAAAUGGAAGAUUAUACAUUUAUUGAAGAGGACCGGUGUGGCAGAUACCGUGAGGGCGUCGAGCUCAGCCAAAGACGUAGCACUGCCGAGCACGUCCGAGACGGAGGAUGGGCUGCUAUGAGUAGGUGCGAGAGCCGGUGCAGGAGCCAGUGCGGGAGCAGGUGCUGGUGCUAGUGCAACGCUAGUCGAGCUGCUCCCAAAGAAGUCGGCAAGGGGAAAGUUCGCUGCAUUUUUUUUCUGGAUUUUGCCUGCUCCAAUUGAAAACGGCCGGAACCAAGGCACUAGACAUAUCUGCAAUCAUCUAUUUUAUGGCAGCUACCGCUGUUGCCACUGUCUCAACUAAUUUCUUCUCAACCGCAAUCUCAACCUUCUUGUCGAUGUUUUCUUCAGUUAACCUCUGUCUUUCCUUUCUCUCUUCUGUGGUCUCAUGGUAGUACUUCUUCCAUGUGGCUCCGUCUCCGACACCGUGCACGCGUCCAUACGACGGCCGAGUGUCCACCGGGAGUCAUUUUAAUAUGUUCAACGCCCAGUUGAAUGGGGUGUCCCACUUGGGCCUCGCCAACGCCUCAGACGGCGAGUCGCUUUUGGCCGCAAUCCUGUGUUGCUCUCUCUGCAAAAGAAACAAGGAUCGUUUACAAAUAUGACUAAACAUGCAAUCGAAUUGAUCGAAACUAAAAUUACCAGCAGUCUCAUGAACUCCGUCAUGAUCGGGUCCGUCUUGAAAACCUUCUUGACUAAGUCCCAAUUGUGAUGUGCCCUAAGGACGUCACGCUCCUAUGGGAUGGUGAAGUCCGCCAAGGGGUCUGGGAUGCCCAGACUUUCGCAUUCUGCGUCCUCCUUGGCCCAUAUGGACCUCUUUCCGCCGUAACCACGGCUUCCGAGGUGGUGGCGCCCCAUGUUCCUCUGUUGAAGUCCCUUCAUGUACUUCGACUUUUUUUGGCAGCUUCGGCCUCACAAGCCGCCUUGAAUAUUUCAAACCGCUCUUGCAUGAUUGUAGGAUUAUCCUUUACAAUCUCGGAGUAGGGUUCCUUUUUGUUGACGAUCCGAUGUUUCACCCUUGUUUUCCAGGGGGCCAACGCGUCGCUAAACUUGGUCAUGGCGUGUUUGUUUAUCUUCUUCAUUGCCGGGUCCUUAUCUGGAUUUUCAUAUUCCUUUUCAUCCCGGCCCGGGAACAAGAAUAUCUGGUGCAGCUUCUUUAGGAGGGAGGGCCUCAUAUUAUCUAUCUUCUUUAGUUUCUCAUCGUUGAUGGUGGCGGUUUUCCAUACGAUGCAGCCUAUUUGAUUGCCGUAGCAUGAUCGCGCUUCCUCAGGCGUUGUUGGCUCAAAAAUGCCGUUGUCCAUCUCCGUGACCACCAGUCUAGUAGGCAUGAGCUGGUUUAGGCAUUGUGGCCUCUUAGCUUUUGGUUCUAUAUCGGCUCCGCUAGUCUCGGCGCCGGUCUCAGUCUCAGCGCCAGUCUGCAUGUCGGUCUCAGUCCCCGAUGCAACAAGUGGGCCCAGCAACAACAUCCAUUGAUCAUCAGCAAGGCUCAAAAAUUCGUCUGUUGUCAGGUAGACAUUGUCGCAAUCACCAGAACCCUGUCCUUCAUUGUUGCUAGCCAUGUUUCCUACGAUUAAAUCUAGUCAAUUAAUCAAGCCUUAAUAAAAUGAAUAAUGACAUAAAAAGGCCUAUGUUUUGUAGGAACGUUGACUCCUUCCAGGUGCAGCAAAUCUCGGGCACUCGAUAUGUCCUAGUUUGUAGCACAAGUCAUGCCGAAAUUCACGAAAAUUUUCGGCAUGACCUUUGCUAAAAAGUGGACAAAUCGAGCACCUGAAAUUUGCCGGAACGGAAGUGAAUCAACAUUCCGGCAAAACGUAGGCCACUCGGCUUCAUUCCUUGGAAACAACAAAAGGCCACUUGGGCACAAUCGAACCACUUCAAUGAAAAGAUAUAACAUGACAACUUCAAUGAAAAUAUAUAAUCAACAAUAAAAGUCUAGGAAGGGAUCAUCUUUAAAAAUAAAAUUUGCCUAAAUUCUUUUCCUAGAAAAAUAGUGGUCUUUUCAAAAACCAAAAACCUUUGCAAAAUGAUCUUACUAAACACUUCUCUGCCUAGGACACAACCCAAAUUCUGUUCUAGCUAUUCCUCUCUCUCUCUCUCACACACACACACACAUUAUUUUCUCUAACCCUUCUAUGCCUAGGACAGAACCCAAUUAAAUUGCAAAGGAACUCCAUUUCUCUAACCCUUCUGACCUAAUGCUUUAAAAUAAAUUUUUCCUCUAACCUAGCGAACCUAGUUAACCUAGCUUGUUAACCUAACGAACCUAAUUAACCUAGCUUGUUAGCCUAGUUUACCUACAUAAUUAAACUAGUUAACCUAUCUAGUGCUCUGUCAAAGCCCUAAAUAAUUUUUUUCUUAACCUAGAUAAUUAACCUAAUUAAACUAGCUAACCUAACUAGUUCUCUGUCAAAGCCCUAACUAAAUUUUUGCACUAACCUAGAUAAUUAACCUAAUUAAACUAGUUAACCUAGCUAGUUAGUAUGUCUAAUGUUUGUGUUAUGCAUGAGAGAGAGAGGAGGGGUGCCUACAGAGGAUGGCUCCGGUGGUGGCGAGGGAGGCAGGGGCGUCUCCGGUGACGGUGAGGGAGGCAGUUGUGGCGAGGGAGGCAGGGGCGUCGAGGGUGGCUCCGGUGGCGCCGAGGGCGGCUCCGGUGGCGUUGGGGGUGGCUCCGGCGGCGUCGACGAUGCGCGGCUCUGGUGGCUUCGGGGGCGUCGAUGUCGGCAGGAAACGGCGUCGAACUUGGACGACGGCGAAUUGGGGACACGGCGGCGAAGUGGGGCGAGGGAUUUGGGGGAGAAGUGGUGGACGGGGGGAGGGAAACCGCUGGUUAAGUCAAACAUAGCGGUAGCGCGUUACUGAAAGCGCGCUAUAGCUAAGUUAGCUAUAGCGUGUUUCACAAAACGCGUUACUGCUAAGCCUUUCUGCUUUUUUUCCUUUCUCAUUUAUUUUUCUUUAAAUUUUAUUUUUCCUUUCUCCUUUUUCUAUUUCUUUCAUUUUCAUUUACUUUUCUUUUUAUUUUUCAAUUUAUUUUCUUUUCAUUAGCAGUAGCGCCUUUCUACGUAAAUGCGCUGCUACAACAAACUUAGCGGUAGCGCUCUUUCUAUAAGAACGCUACUACUAUGUGUAGCCUACUGGCUUAGUAGUGAGAAUUUUAGUCGUAGCGCAUUUAACGAGAGACGUGCUACUGCUGAGUUUGUAUCUGUAGCGCGUUUAUCCGGGACACGCUACUGCUAUUUAGCACUAGCGCCCUUUUUUAACAAGCGCUACUGCUAAAGUUCUGUGUAUAAGGUUUUCCCUAGUAGUGCAUAAAGACAACGAGAUAUCAUGUAUCCUAUAUACCUAUACCUAGAUUGGUGACCUUCACUAAUUCAUUUAUGUUAACAUGCAACCAUGCCACCUCAACAUGCAACUAUUAUACAUGUAAAAAUGAGCACCUUAACAUGCAACACAUUCAAUAUUUUAAACUGCACAAUACAUAGUAAGCAUUUUCAAUUACAGUUUUCAUAUUAUCAAUCCGAAUAUUCAUAUACAACCAAAUCUCAGUAAAUUUUAUUACAACCAAUUCCUACAGCAACAUAUGUGUAACGCCCACGAUGCGGCUAUAGCUCCCACGUGUCGAAGUACGACUUAGAGGCAUAACCGCAUUGUAAGCAAUGUCGCAAGUGAGGUAAUCUUCACAACAACCCAUGUAAUGAAUAAGGGAAAAUAUAUAUAGUUAGCUUACACUCGCCAUAUCACACAAAUAGCAUAAAUAUCAUUACAUUCAUCCAGAUACACUCAGGGUCCGACUACGGAACCAAAAUAAAGAACAACCCCAAAUGCGACAAAGUCCCCGGUCGCCCCAACUGGGCACCACUACUGAUCGUCUUGAAAGGAAACGUAGUAUCGUCCUGAGUCCUCAUCGAACUCCCACUUGAGCUCAGUCGAAUAACCUGGAGCGGUAUCAUCGGUCCCUGCAUCUGGUUUUGGAAGUAAUCUAUGAGUCACGGGGGACUCAGCAAUCUCACACCCUCGCAAUCAAGACUAUUUAAGCUUAUAGGAAGGGUAAAAAUAUGAAGUGGAGUUGCAGCAAGCGACUAGCAUAUUUGGUGGCUAACAUACGCAAAUAAGAGCGAGAAGAGAAGGCCAUGGCACGGUCGAACAACUAUGAUCAAGAAGUGAUCCUAGAACAACCUACGAUCAAGCAUAAGACGAGACCGUGUUCUCUUCCCGGACUCCGCCGAAAAGAGACCAUCACGGCCACACACUCUGUUGAUUCAUAUUUAAUUAAGUUUAGUUUAAGGUUUUCUACAACCGGACAUUAACAAAUUCCCAUCUAUCCAUAACCGUGGGCACGGCUUUCGAAAGUUCAAAUCCCUGCAGGGGUGUCCCAACUUAGCCCAUCACAAGCUCUCACGGUCAAGGAAGGAUAUUCCUUCUCCCAAGACAAUCCGAUCAGACUCGGAAUCCCGGUCACAAGACAUCUCGACAAUGGUAAAACAAGUCCAGCAAGACCACCCGCUGUGCUGACAAAUCCCGACAGGAGCUGCACAUAUCUCGUUCUCAGGGCACACCGAUGAACACUACGUACAACUAAAACCAACCCUCGGGUUCCCCAAGGUGGCGCUGCAAGUGGCUCUGUUUUGGACCAACACUCAGAGGAGCACUGGCCUGUGGGUUUAAAUAAAGAUGACCCUUGAGUCCGUGGAACCCAAGGGAAAAAGAGGCUAGGUGGCAAAUGGUAAAACCAAGGUUGGGCCUUACUGGAGGAGUUUUAUUCAAGGUGAACUAUCAAGGGGUUCCCAUUAUAACCCAACCGUGUAAGGAACGCAAAAUUAAGGAACAAAACACCGGUAUGACGGAAACUAGGGCGGCAAGAGUGGAACAAAACACCAGGCAUAAAGCCGAGCCUUCCACCCUUUACCAAGUAUAUAGGUGCAUUAAGAUAGACAAAAAAUAAUAAUGAUAUCCCAACAAUAAACAUGUUCCAACAAGGAACAAACUCCAAUCUUCACCAGCUACUAGCAACGCUAUAAGAGGGGCUGAGCAAAGCGGUAACAUAGCCAAACAACGGUUUGCUAGGACAAGGUGGGUUAGAGGUUUGACAUGGCAAUAUGGGAGGCAUGAUAAGCAAGUGGUAGGUAUCGUAGCAUAGGCAUAGCAAAAGAGCGAGCAUCUAGCAAGCAAAGAUAGAAGUGAUUUCGAGGGUAUGGUCAUCUUGCCUAUAAAGUUCUCCGAGUUGACGUUAGCUUGAUCCUCGUAAACAUACUCAACGGGCUCCUCGAUCACGUACUCGUCUCCCGGCUCUACCCAAGCAAUAACAACAAGUAAAGGGAGACACAAUCAACCACAUGCAAUGCACAAACAACAUGAUGCAAAACAUGUCAUGAUAUGCGGGAUACGAUAUGUGAUGCAUAUGCAUGAUUCAGAAAAGAAAGAUUGAACCUGGCCUCAACUUGGAAAACCAAGAGUGCCACUGGAAAGAGGAGUUGAUUUCAGUCGAAAUCGAUAUAAAGAUCACCGGAAUCGGAUGCACGGUUUGGAAAUGACAAGAAAAACAAAUAUGGCACCGGUCUGCGAUUAACAACAUGAGGCCAUCUAAAUGCAUCAAGAACAACAAGCUACUGCACCCAAACAUAGCAACAAAAUACAUGGCAGGGAUCAACUCAAGAUACUUGACAAAAGAUGAACACUAAGCUACGGCUAAUUCACUCAAUAACAAGUUCAAACAAGCAUGGCAAAAUGCAAAAGAUAUCAGGUUACAGACUUAGUGAAAAUAACAUCAAAUCAGGAAUUUAACAUCAGGAAGCAAUGUUUAGAGCAAGGUAACAACUUGGUACAGGAACAUAUCAUGGCAAAGCAAUACAUGGCAUGAAGCUACUCAAAGCAUACAACAAAAGUCCCUUACUGACCAUAAGCCAAAAGGGAUCAGAAAAUACAAUGGCAACCAUGCGACAUAGCAAUUAUCGUUAACAGAUUCAGACUUAGCAGAAAACUAGAACAUGUCAAAACAGAUAUCAAGUAAUGUUUACGAGCUCAAAGAAGUCACCACAAAGCAAUGCAUGACACACUAAGCAUACACCCAGCAAGUAGACAUGGCAUAGAAGCUAAACAUGGCAAAACAACAACAUAGCAUGCAUGGAUCAACUAAAACAACCUCGGCAAAAAUGCUUAACAUGUAAACAUUCUGCCAGGAACAUUUUAUAGCAAAAGUAGAGCCCGAUUGACUCAAGUUAGGGUGCUGCAUAAUUGCAAAUAAAGGCAUGGAUGGAUAGAGCACAACAAUAUCUACAAAACAUCCUUACUGAUCAUGCUCAAAAGAGGCAUAGAUCACUCGGUAUCAACAUGAACACAUGGCAUAAAAAUAUAAACACGGCAAUGACUUCCAAUAUUUCCAAGUUCCUGAAAUCAGCAACAACAAGUAAGCUACUUUGCAUGCUUGUGCUAGUCACCACAGAGAUCACAAAAAUACAUGGCAUACACCCCUAUAAAGAUGACAUGACAUACUUCAAAACUCAUGUAGAGCUCAAGUUCAUAGGAGGCACACAUCAAUCAUGGCAAAAAUGACAAAUGUCCAAUUGCUGAUAUGAAACCGAAACUAAGAAACUAGCACUCUUCCAACAGCAUUUAGGGCAUCAAGAUGAGCUCAAAUGAACAUGAUGCAAUGAGAUGAAAUGAAUUACUCGUCGAGGCGAACAUUUCGAUAUGCUACACGCACAAAUCGGAGCCACGGAUGCAAAGUUACGAUGCGAUGAAGAUAGGCAAAAAAUAUUAGGGUUUAGGGCAAAAAGUCAACCGAGAUUUCAGAUCUGGAUCCGGAGCACUGUAGCAGCGCGGAAAACGAAGAUGAACUCGAGCUCGCUGGAGUUCCUAUUCGCCGGAGAUGGGGGUCGCCGGAGUAGCGGAACUUGACGCCGGCGAGGAGGGUCGUCGAGGAGGCAGUGGCGGGCGUGGUGGUGCGGCCGUGGCGAGGAGCGGCGUCCCCGACGGGCGUGGAUGGCGGCGGCGGCCUGCCGGAGCGGCGAGGCGGCGCGGGCGGUCGCCGACACCGGCGAGGGACGCGGCGACCGGCGCGGCGGGCGAGGUGGCGGCGCUCGGGCGCGCGCGAGCCGGGUGGUUGGCGGCGCUGCGCGGGCCGGGAGGGCUCUCCCCGGGCCCAGGCAGGCCGGCGCGGCCGGGGAGACCCGGCGGGACACGUGGCAGGUGCUGGUUGGCACGGAGGCGGCGGCAGACGUGUCCAGUCCGCUUCGGACGUGUCCGUUGGCGCGGGGAGCGGAAUUUUAGGGUUUAGGGGGGAGAGACCCAGGAUUUCGGAGGAGGGGCUAUAUAUAGAGGUAGAGGGAGCUAGGAGGCUCCAAAUUGAGCACGGUUUGCGGCCACGCGAUCGUGAUCGAACGGCCUCGAUGAUGGAGGGGGUUUAGGUGGGUUUUGGGCCAUUUUGGAAGGGUGUUGGGCUGCAACACACACGAGGCCUUUUCGGUCCCUCGGUUAACCGUUGGAGUAUCAAACAACGUCCAAAUGGUAUGAAACUUGACAGGCGGUCUACCGGUAGUAAAACAAGGCCGCAUGACAAGUCUCGGUCCAAUCCGAAAAUGUUUAACACCCGCACACAAAAAGAGGUAGAAAGGGACACCGGAGGACAUAGGAGCGCCGGAAUGCAAAACAGACAACGGGGAAAAUGCUCGGAUGCAUGAGACGAACACGUAUGCAAAUGCAAUGCACAUGAUGACAUGAUAUGAGAUGCAUGACAAAGACAAAAACACACGAAGACAAAAACCCGACAACGAGGAAAUAUCAUAACUUAGUGCCGAAAACGGCAAGAGUUGGAAUACAAAUAUGGCAGGUUACAUACGGGGUGUUACAACACUCCACCACAACGAAAGGAUCUCGUCCCGAGAUCUAGGACUGGAAAAACUCCGGGUACUCAGAACGGAGGUGGUCCUCGCAUUCCCAGGUGGCUUCACGGUCGGAAUGAUGUGACCACUUGACUUUCAGGAAUUUAAUAGACUUGUUGUGAGUCUUGCGCUUAGCUUCUUCAAGAAUCGCAACUGGGUGCUCACGAUAAGACAGGUCUUCUUGGAGAUCAAUGUCUUCGAAGUUGAUGGUGCGGUAAGGAGUCUUGAAACACUUGCGGAGUUGAGACACGUGAAACACGUCGUGCACGCUUGCAAAGUUGGAGGGAAGUUCAAGUUGAUAGGCGAGGUCGCCUCUUUUGCCAAUGAUCUUGAAAGGACCCACGUAUCUAGGGGCAAGCUUCCCUUUGAUACCGAAGCGACGAGUACCUUUCAUUGGAGAGACACGGAGGUAGACAUGGUCUCCGAUCUCGAAAGCCAAGUUUUGAUGCCUGCUAUCAUAGUAACUCUUCUGGCGCGAUUGCGCGGCUUUGAGAUUUUCACGAAUGACUUUGCACAUUUCUUCUGCCUCUGUGAUCAAGUCAUUGCCAAGAAGUUGGCGUUCACCAGUCUCUGACCAGUUAAGAGGAGUACGACACUUCCUGCCAUAGAGAAUCUCGAAUGGGGCCUUGCCCGAACUCGCUUGGAAGCUGUUGUUGUAGGAGAACUCGGCAUAUGGAAGGCAAUCUUCCCACUUCAUACCGAAAGAAAUGACGCAAGCCCUGAGCAUAUCUUCAAGAAUUUGAUUUACUCGCUCAACUUGGCCACUGGUUUGAGGAUGAAAAGCUAUGUUGAAGCGAAUGUUGGUGCCCAUGGCCUUCUGAAAAGAAUCCCAAAACUUGGAGGUGAAGAUGCUGCCACGAUCUGAAGAUAUCAACUACGGAAUGCCGUGCAGAGAGACAAUCCUGAAGGUAUAUAGCUUUUCCAACUGAGCUGCUGUGAUAGAUUCUUUGAUUGGAAGAAAAUGAGCCACUUUGGUGAGCUUGUCGAUGACAACGAAGAUAGCAUCAUUGCCAUGCUUGGACUUUGGAAAUCCAGUCACGAAGUCCAUCUCAGUAUGGUUAAACUUCCAUUCUGGAAUGGCAAGAGGUUGGAGGAGACCAGCUGGUCGUUGGUGUUCUGCUUUCGCUCUUCUGCAGACAUCACAUUCAUUCACGAACUAAGCAAUCUCACGCUUCAUUCGAGUCCACCAAUACGACUGCUUGAGGUCCUGGUACAUCUUUGUACUUCCAGGGUGAAUAGAGAGGAGUGAAUUGUGAGCCUCGUUCAUAAUGACUUUACGAAGGUCACCUUUAGGAACAACAAUGCGAUCCUCGAAGAAUAGAGUAUCCUUGUCAUCAAGGCGAUAGCACUUGUACUUGGGUUGACUCUUGGCAAUCCCAAUUUUCACCUUCUUCACCAUAGCAUCAAGAAGUUGAGCCUCGCAAAUCUGAUCUUCCAAAGUAGGAGAGACUUGGAGGUUGGCAAGAAAUCCUUGAGGAACAACUUGAAGAUUAAGUUUGCGGAAAGCUUCACAAAGCUCGGGUUGGUAAGGCUUGAGAAUCAAACUGUUGCAGUAAGCCUUCAUGCUCAAUGCAUCAGCAAUUACAUUGGCCUUGCCUGGAGUAUAUUCAAUACUCGGAUUAUACUCUUGAAUCAUUUCGACCCAACGAGUCUGCCUGAGGUUGAGGUUUGGCUGAGUGAAGAUGUACUUGAGACUCUUAUGAUCAAUGAAUAUGUCCACUUUUCGUCCCAAUAAGAGAUGUCUCCAUGUUAAAAGAGCAUGGACAACUGCCGCCAACUCGAGGUCAUGAGUGGGGUAGUUCUUUUCGUUGGGCUUCAACUGGUGAGAGGUAUAGUCCACAACUUUCUUCUCUUGCAUCAACACUGCACCAAGACCUUGAAGGGAAGCAUCACAGAAGACCUCGAACGGUUUGGAUUCAUCAGGAGGAGUCAGAACUGGAUCAGUAACUAACUUCUCUUUCAGGGUGUUGAAAGCGAUGUCACAUUCAGGCGACCAGACGUACUUCACAUGCUUCUGGAGGAGGUUGGAAAGAGGCUUCACGAUCUUAGAGAAGUUCUCAACGAACCUUCGACAAUAGCUUGCGAGCCCAAGGAAGCUACGGAGUUGCUUCACAUUCUGAGGUGGUUCCCAAUUCACAAUUGCAGACACCUUCUCAGGAUUAACAGCUAUGCCCUUGGCGGAGAUGAUAUGUCCAAGGUAGAGAACCUCAUCAAGCCAAAACUCGCACUUUGAAAACUUUGCAUAUAACUAAUGUUCUCUGAGUUUAUCCAGCACCAAUCUCAAGUGCUUGGCAUGAUCCUCCUUGUUCUUGGAAAAGACCAAAAUGUCAUCGAGGUAGACCAAGACGAAGUCAUUUGUGUAGGAGUUGAAGAUGAAGUUCAUCAUGGGAGAGAAAGUUGGUGGAGCGUUGACGAGACCGAAAGACAUGACAGUGUAUUCAUAUGAACCAUAGCUUGUUCUGAAUGCUGUCUUGGGGAUAUCUUCUUCACGAAUGUGAAUCUGAUGAUAGCCCAUACGGAGAUCAAGCUUGGAGAAUACUUGAGCACCCUUGAGUUUUUCAAAAAGCUCAUUGAUGUUGGGAAGUGGGUACUUGUUCUUUAUGGUGUUCUUGUUCAAUGGACGAUAGUCGACACAAAGUCGGUCUGUUCCAUCCUUCUUCUUGACGAAAAGAACACCACAACCCCAUGGAGAAGAACUUGGUCGGAUGAGACCCAUACGCUCUUGAAUAUCGAGUUGCUUCUUCAGCUCCUUCAACUCUUCAGGUCCAAGCUUGUAAGGACGUUUGCAAACAGGUUCUGUGCUAGGCUCAAGAUCGAUGACGAAUUCAACUGGCCGGUGCGGAGGCAUUCCUGGAAGCUCUUCUCGAAAGACGUCUUGAUAUUCGCAAACAAAUGGAAUCUGAGAGAUGGCAUCCAACUCGCCCUUCUCGUUGAGGGAAAACAGUCGGAUGGUAUCAUCACGAGCGGUAAAGACGAUUACAUCCUCAGAUGAAUGUGUCAAUUGAAUCUGCCUGGCAGCACAAUCAAGCUGAGCCUUGUGCUUAGAAAGCCAGUCCAUUACGAGAAUAAGAUCAAUAUCCGAGUUACCAAGGACCACUGGAGAAGAUAGAAACUUAUAGUCGCCCAACGUGAUAGUAACAUCCGGGACGCAAUUGUUAGAAGUCAUUUGCUUGCCCGGGGACACAAUCAUCAACAGGAAAGGAAUCUUUUCGGUCACAAACUCAUGCUUGGCAACAAAUGGUCUUGAAAUAAAAGAAAGCGAUGCACCAGUUUCAAAAAGAACUUUUGCAGGAACAUCGUUAACAGAAAGGUUACCCAUGAUGACAUCUGACGAGUCCUCUGCCUGAGCUGCGUUCAUCAUGUUGACCUUGGCGUGCUUGGGAUUAUGCUUGACCACUGCGGUACUGGCAGAUCUCACGGUAGGAGGAGGAGGAAGACGCCUCUGAUUGAAGCAUUUGUUGGCAUAGUGACCCUUCUACUGACACUUGUUGCACGUGACCUCCGAGAGCGGACGGUGAUACGGAGCACUUGAUCUUGGAGCAUGAGACGAAGUCUUGUUCUGAAAGCCUGGGUUGGGUGGGUGGGAAGAUCCAUUGCCACCUUUGCUCUUCUGCUGAUAAGGCUGACGGAACGGAGGAGGAGGCAACCAAUACUUUUGCUGCUUAGUUACCACCUGAGUUGAGGAAGAAGGAGUUGCAUCCCUGACUCGCUUCUUGGAAGCAUCGCACUUUAGCUGAGCAGCCUCUUGUUUCAGUGCCAUGUUGUAAAACUCAUCGUACUUCUGUGGCUCGAAAAGCACGAGAGCAAGUUGAAGAUCUUCUCUGAGGCCACCUCUGAACUGAUAAAUCAUGCUCUUCUCGUCAGGGACGUCUUGCUUGGCGAAACGAGCGAGCUUCUGGAACAUGAUGUUAUACUGGUAAACAGACAAGCUGCCUUGCUUCAGGUUGCGGAAUUCCUCACGCUUGCUCUCAAUAACACUCUGAGGAAUGUGGUGAGCUUCGAAGUCUUGACGGAAUUCAUCCCAGGUAAUCACACGGCCUCCUCUGGAAUCUUUGUACUGUUGAUACCACUCAGCAGCUUGGUCUUUAAGUUGAAACGAGGCAAACUUGACAAAGUCCUCAGGCCUGACGUUGCUGCAGUCAAAAUGCUUGCAGAUAUCCACGAGCCAAUGAUCAGCGUCUGUUGCCUCAACACAGUUGCUGAAGGUCUUUGGCUGGUUAGCGAGGAACUGGUUGAGUGUAGCAAACUGAUUCUGAUUGUUGACAUGGCCUUGGUUGCGCUCUUGCAAGAGUUGCAUGAUCAGCUGCGUGUUUGCAUUGGUAGCGGCCAUCACAGCUUGCCAUGCCUCCGGAGGCGGAGGUGGUGGUGGCGGAUAAGGAUUCGAACACGUUGGGGGAGCCAUCCUGAAGAGGGUGACAUCCGUUAGCAUCUUGACAGACAUAUAUUCAAGCUGAAUCAAAUGGAUCGAAAUUGCAACAUAUAGUCUUAACAUCCGAACAAAAUGAACGAAUGCAUUCCAAUUGAAAUGGUAACACUUCCAUAAAUUGAGAAGCCACUUAGAUAGAGGUAGAAGAAUAAAACAACAAGGUACGGACAAGAACAAAUACUUGGUGAGGAUUACCCAAUCACAAACCAAAUAUCCGCGGAAGAAAUACUAGAGCUACAAGAAUUCCCACCUAUGAAACUCCCGAACCUUUCUAGUUAUGCAAUCAGGUGUUGGGGAUACAGGGGAAGCAUAAUAUCUCACCCAAAGCUAGCAAAUCCUACAUCCAGAUGUAUCCAUCCUUCAACACAUAACCAAGAAACCUUCGGAAAUCAUUUACCUCAACCUUCGAAAAGCAUCCGUUAUACGAGUUAUGGCGAUACUCCCGAACUCCCGCCCCAGUAUUGGGUGGCGUCGAGGUUAUCUCACCAACAACUACAUAAAAGAGAUUUUCGAUGUCGGCGAAACUCAGGUAUUCCAGAAUUGCAACGAUAAAAUUGUGACGACAACACCUCGGAGCUCAACUCCCCGGGACACUGCCACAACCCCUAAAUGUCAGGAGGCACCAAGAACAAUGUUCUCAUCACAAAACCAUCGGAACGAUUUCAAGAUACCCGCGUGAUCCUAAUUUUUUUAGUGAAAUUUGAGAAGAGAAGAGUCAAAACUCUACGUCAGGAUGCCUCACCAGAGCGACGAAGGGACUGAGGAGUAAAAAGAAUCCUACUCCGAUAUAUAUAAUCCUAAAUGACUCAAAACAUUUUUCUAGACUCAACAACGCCAACGAUUCGAUCAAGCAGGGGGCUCCUAAGGUCGGGGAAGGCUCUGAUUACCAACUUGUAACGCCCACGAUGCGGCUAUAGCUCCCACGUGUCGAAGCACGACUUAGAGGCAUAACUGCAUUGUAAGCAAUGUCGCAAGUGAGGUAAUCUUCACAACAACCCAUGUAAUGAAUAAGGGAAAAGAUACAUAGUUGGCUUACACUCGCCACGUCACACAAAUAGCAUAAAUAUCAUUACAUUCAUCCAGAUACACUCAGGGUCCGACUACGGAACCAAAAUAAAGAACAACACCUAAUGCGACAAAGUCCCCGAUCGCCCCAACAGGGCACCACUACUGAUCGUCUGGAAAGGAAACAUAGUAUCAUCCUGAGUCCUCGUCGAACUCCCACUUGAGCUUAGUCGAAUCACCUGAAGCGGUAUCAUCAGUCCCUGCAUCUGGUUUUGGAAGUAAUCUGUGAGUCACGGGGGACUCAGCAAUCUCACACCCUCGCGAUCAAGACUAUUUCAGCUUAUAGGAAGGGUAAAAAUAUGAGGUGGAGCUGCAGCAAGCUACUAGCAUAUUUGGUGGCUAACAUACGCAAAUGAGAGCGCGAAGAGAAGGCCAAGGCACGGUCGAACAACUAUGAUCAAGAAGUGAUCCUAGAACAACCUACGAUCAAGCAUAACACGAGACCGUGUUCUCUUCCCGGACUCCGCCGAAAAGAGACCAUCACAGCCACACACUCUGUUGAUUCAUUUUUAAUUAAGUUUACUUUAAGGUUUUCUACAACCGGACAUUAAAAAAUUCCCAUCUGCCCAUAACCACGGGCACGGCUUUUGAAAGUUCAAAUCCCUGCAGGGGUGUCCCAACUUAGCCCAUCACAAGCUCUCACGGUCAACGAAGAAUAUUCCUUCUCCCAAGACAAUCCGAUCAGACUCGGAAUCCCGGUUACAAGACAUCUCUACAAUGGUAAAACAAGUCCAGCAAGACCACCCGCUGUGCCGACAAAUCCCGAUAGGAGCUGCACAUAUCUCGUUCUCAGGGCACACCGGAUGAACACUACGUACAACUAAAACCAACCCUCAGGUUUCCCCAAGGUGGCGCUGCAAGUGGCUCUGUUUUGGACCAACACUCAGAGGAGCACUAGCCCGGGGGUUCAAAUAAAGAUGACCCUUGAGUCCGCGGAACCGAAGGGAAAAAGAGGCUAGGUGGCGAAUGGUAAAACCAAGGUUGGGCCUUGCUGGAGGAGUUUUAUUCAAGGUGAACUGUCAAGGGGUUCCCAUUAUAACCCAACCGUGUAAGGAACGCAAAAUCAAGGAACAUAACACCGGUAUGACGGAAACUAGGGCGGCAAGAGUGGAACAAAACACCAGACAUAAGGCCGAGCCUUCCACCCUUUACCAAGUAUAUAGGUGCAUUAAGAUAGACAAAAAAUAAUAAUGAUAUCCCAACAAUAAACAUGUUUCAACAAGGAACAAACUCCAAUCUUCACCUGCAACUAGCAAUGCUAUAAGAGGGGCUGAGCAAAGCGGUAACAUAGCCAAACAACGGUUUGCUAGGACAAGGUGGGUUAGAGGUUUGACAUGGCAAUAUGGGAGGCAUGAUAAGCGAGUGGUAGGUAUCGUAGCAUAGGCAUAGCAAAAGAGCGAGCAUCUAGCAAGCAAAGAUAGAAGUGAUUUCGAGGGUAUGGUCAUCUUGCCUGCAAAGUUCUCCGAGUUGACGUUAGCUUGAUCCUCGUAAACGUACUCAACGGGCUCCUCGAUCACGUGCUCGUUUUCCGGCUCUACCCAAGCAAGAAUAACAAGCAAACGGAGACACAAUCAACCACAUGCAAUGCACAAACAACAUGAUGCAAAACAUGUCAUGAUAUGCGGGAUGCGAUAUGCGAUGCAUAUGCAUGAUUCGGAAAAUAAAGAUUGAACCUGGGCUCAACUUGGAAAACCAAGAGUGCCACUGAAAAGAGGAGUUGAUUUCGGUCAAAAUCGAUAUAAAGAUCACCGGAAUCGGAUGCACGGUUUGGAAAUGACAAGCAAACAAAUAUGGCACCGGUCUGCGAUUAACAACAUGAGGCCAUCUAAAUGCAUCAAGAACAACAAGCUGCUGCACCCAAAUAUAGCAACAAAAUACAUGGCAGGGAUCCACUCAAGAUACUUGACAAAAUAUGAACACUGAGCUACGGCUAAUUCACUCAAUAACAGGUUUAAACAAGCAUGGCAAAAAGGCAAAAGAUAUCAGGUUACAGACUUUGUGAAAAUAACAUCAAGUCGGGAAUUUAACAUCAGGAAGCAAUGUUUAGAGCAAGGUAACAACAUGCUACAGGAACAUAUCAUGGCAAAACAAUACAUGGCAUUAAUCUACUCAAAGCAUACAACAAAAGUCCCUUACUGACCAUAAGCCAAAAGGGAUCAGAAAAUACAAUGGCAACCAUGCGAACAUAGCAAUUAUCGUUAACAGAUUUAGACUUAGCAGAAAACUGGAACAUGUCAAAACAGAUAUCAAGUAGGCAUGUUUACGAGCUCAAAGAACUCACCACAAAGCAAUGCAUGACACACUAAGCAUACACCCAGCAAGUAGACAUGGCAUAGAAGCUAAACAUGGCAAGAACAAUAACAGAGCAUGCAUGGAUCAACUAAAACAACCUCGGCAAAAAUGCUUAACAUGUAAACAUUCUACCAGGAACAUUUUAUAGCAAAAGUAGAGCUCGAUUGACUCAAGCUAGGGUGCUCCAUAAUUGCAAACAAAGGCAUGGAUGGAUAGAGCACAACAAUAUCUACAAAACAUCCUUACUGAUCAUGCUCAAAAGAGGCAUAGAUCACUCGGUAUCAACAUGAACACAUGGCAUAAAAAUAUAAACAGGGCAAUGACUUACAAUAUUUCCAAGUCCCUGAAAUCAGCAACAACAAGUAAGCUACUUUGCAUGCUUGUGCUAGUCACCACAGAGAUCACAAAAAUACAUGGCAUACACCCCUGUAAAGAUGACAUGACAUACUUCAAAACUCAUGUAGAGCUCAAGUUCAUAGGAGGCACACAUCAAUCAUGGCAAAAAUGACAAAUGUCUAAUUGCUGAUAUCAAACCGAAACUAAGAAACUAGCACUCUUCCAACAGCAUUUAGGGCAUCAAGAUGAGCUCAAAUGAACAUGAUGCAAUGAGAUGAAAUGAAGUACUCGUCGAGACGAACAUUUCGAUAUGCUACACGCACGAAUCGGAGCCAUGGAUGCAGAGUUACGAUGCGACGAAGAUAGGCAAAAAAUAUUAGGGUUUAGGGCAAAAAGUCAACCGAGAUUUCAGAUCUGGAUCCGGAGCACUGUAGCAGCGCGGAAAAUGAAGAUGAACUCGAGCUCGCUGGAGUUCCUGUUCGCUAGAGAUGGGGGUCGCCGGAGUAGCGGAACUUGACGCCAGCGAGGAGGGUCGUCGAGGAGGCGGUGGCGGGCGUGGUGGUGCGGCCGCGGCGAGGAGCGGCGUCCCCGACGGGCGUGGAUGGCAGCGGCGGNNNNNNNNNNNNNNNNNNNNNNNNNNNNNNNNNNNNNNNNNNNNNNNNNNNNNNNNNNNNNNNNNNNNNNNNNNNNNNNNNNNNNNNNNNNNNNNNNNNNNNNNNNNNNNNNNNNNNNNNNNNNNNNNNNNNNNNNNNNNNNNNNNNNNNNNNNNNNNNNNNNNNNNNNNNNNNNNNNNNNNNNNNNNNNNNNNNNNNNNNNNNNNNNNNNNNNNNNNNNNNNNNNNNNNNNNNNNNNNNNNNNNNNNNNNNNNNNNNNNNNNNNNNNNNNNNNNNNNNNNNNNNNNNNNNNNNNNNNNNNNNNNNNNNNNNNNNNNNNNNNNNNNNNNNNNNNNNNNNNNNNNGCCGGCGCGGCGGGCGAGGUGGCGGCGCUCGGGCGCGCGCGAGCCGGGUGGUUGGCGGGGGAGACCCGGCGGGACACGUGGCAGGUGCUGGUUGGCGCGGAGGCGGCAGAGGAUGCGUCCGGUCCGCUCCGGACGUGUCUGGCGGCGCGGGGAGCGGAAUUUUAGGGUUUAGGGGGGAGAGACGUGGGAUUUCAGAGGAGGGGCUAUUUAUAGAGGUAGAGGGAGCUAGGAGGCUCCAAAUUGAGCACAGUUUGCGGCCACGCGAUCGUGAUCGAACGGCCUAGAUGAUGGAGGGGGUUUAGGUGGGUUUUGGGCCACUUUGGAAGGGUGUUGGGCUGCAACACACACGAGGCUUUUUUGGUCCCUUGGUUAACCGUUGGAGUAUCAAACGACGUCCAAAUGGUACGAAAUUUAACAGGCGGUCUACCGGUAGUAAACCAAGGCCGCAUGACAAGUCUCGGUCCAAUCCAAAAAUGUUUAACACCCACACACGAAAAGAGGUAGAAAGGGACACCGGAGGACAUAGGAGCGCCGGAAUGCAAAACGGACAACGGGGAAAAUGCUCGGAUGCAUAAGACGAACACAUAUGCAAAUGCAAUGCACAUGAUGACAUGAUAUGAGAUGCAUGACAAAGACAAAAAUACACGAAGACAAAAACCCGACAACGAGGAAAUAUCAUAACUUAGUGCCGGAAACGGCAAGAGUUGGAAUACAAAUAUGGCAGGUUACAUACGGGGUGUUACAAUAUGGGAUAUCAUGUAGUUGUGUACAGUAUGGCACACAAAUUACAGACCUGUGGUUUUUUAGAAGAAUUAUAGAUUCACAUUAUUUUUGCAAAAACACAUGUAACUUUAUUCACUCUCAACCAUCACAAUUACAUUGCUUCAGAUCCAAGAUCCAAGAAAUUACAAAGCAAUUCCUACAACUAAAAAUUACUAUAAAAUCUCUUGUAGACAUCUUCUUCGUGGUAUCAAUCUUUGUAAGAUGGAAUAACACCAAUACUUCGGUAAAUAGAGUGCAAUUGGACUAGAGCGGUGAUACUGCAACUCAUUCACCUGCACAAACUUUAUCAAUAAUAGAUUUUUCUAAACAAACCUUGAGUCACCCAUCCAACAAGACGGAAAGCCUUGAGCAAUGAAACUACUUGGGCCGGGGAUGAUCCCCUACAAGUGUAGACCGCCGAAUCAAAAAAUCAUCACCAUAAUGUCGAAGAAAUAUUCCAACAACACAGAAAAUCAAACCAAAUAAAGCAACAAGAGACAAUAGCAUGAACUCAUCAGAUUCGAAUAAUUGGCUCUGCGAGGACACAAUCCUCUCUGCCUUCAUGACAUCACCACAUAGAACCGAAGUCAUUUUAUUCGCAAAAAUACCACGAAGACUACUAGAUGUUUGUGAUUUUUUAAAAUGUUCACAAAUUAGAAAAAUGCUAACGAAUCAAAACUUUUCAUGAAUUUGGAUUUUUUUUCAUGAUAUUGCAAAAUGUUCAUGAAUUAAAAAUGGAAAGGAAAGUAAAAAAGGAAAAAUAAACAAGAAAAGUAGACAGAAAGAAAAACAUAAAAAACCGGAUAAACAUGUGAAAAGGGAAAAAAUAACCUACCCAAAACCGGGUAGAAGGUUCCAAAAUAGGGGGAAGAAGCUUCUUGAAAUAGCCCAUAACACAUCCCUACCCCCGCUAGUGUGCUGGGCAUGGAGAAGCAUGUCAAUUAGCGAACACUACUUUAUCAGCGAUACCUAGUAAUUGCAGCCUUCAGGUAAAAGGUUUUCUUUCUUGGAAAGCAAUCUCGCAAUCGCCGCCAAAGACCUUCGCUCCAACCUCGUCCUCCGACGGCUUCCCUCUGCCGAUGACCUCGGUCAUCGGUGGUGACGGGGGUCAUCGGAUCCAUGUGUGUGGAUCAUUUUAGUCAUUAGUAGCUUAGCUUUUCGGUUGUUCAUCGUCUUGGUUUUUCCCAUGGCGACGCUGAAUAAAGAAUCUUCAAAUCUUUUUUGACGAGGUGAUCCGGCCUUUGUUUGGGGAUGAAUUUAGAAAUCAGUUUGUUCAAGCCAGGAUGACAUGGCGGCAGCAACCUCGUGGUUGACCUGUGUCCUCGGCUCCGCCAUUGCGAAGGUGUUUGCUCCAGCGCCAGCAUGGAGCUUGGGAGGUAGUCCAGGAGUGGGUGCAGAUUGUGGUCCACAUCGAUGGCAUCUGAAAGAUGGUGAAUCAUGUGCUGGGCUCGUGGUUCAUGGCAUGUAGGUACGGUUUCCACUUCUGACUUCUUAGUUGUGCGGGGUUGCCAAAUCUGGAGUUUAAUGGCAUGUCGAGGGUGUUGCCCUGGUCUGAUUCGUUCAACGGUAAUGACCUCGCCUUUGGUGAGCCACCUUGGAGGUCCGCAAAGCUACAUAUCAUUGAUGGAGCCGGGUCGAGCUGGGGUGAGAAGGUGAUCCAUCAAUUUUUCCCUUUGGUGUUUGCUAUGGUGGUGCUAGAGGUGGAUGAAGGACGUUGGUGUUAAGCGCAGGGGUUUCUUCAGUCAUGAUUGUAAUUUUCUUUUUUGACUGGUGUUAAGUUGUGUAAAGGCUAGCAUCCUGCUGCCUGUGUAGUUUUGCCAGGUUGGUGUGUACAUGACUUGUACUAUGUUCUUUAUGAUAUAAAUGUGACAUGUAUUACCAUGCAAAAAAAGAGGCAAUUGCAACCCUCAUGACCCAAAGUUAGAAUCCUAGAGCUUUUGUCUAAUAAAAUACCACCUAGAGAUGCGCGUGCACAAAGACUUCUCCACUCUCAUCCACGAGAUUAGGUCGACUACGAUAUGGGGACAACAAUAGUGAUGUGUUGGCGGCUCCUUCUAGUGUGGAAGUUAUAUACUUCUGUCGAGAAUGUAUCCUGUGCACCAAACCAAUUUAUGCACCCAAUGCACCGGUGGAUUCUGGGCCCUUAGAUGAAAAGGAAACGGGCUAGAUUCUGGUCAAAAGUUGGACUAUGACUUUUUUGCGGAGACAACCUUGUACUUUGUAGAAAUUAACCCACACUCCACGGCCACAUUCCCAUCAGAAAUAUGCAUGUUUAUUUUUUUGGCCCAAACAAAAAAUGAUUCAUAUAUCUUGAACUGAUUGUUUGAUUUCAGAUCUGUUUUGACUGUCAUUUUUUUCUUGACGAGAAAUUCGAAAUAAGAUCAAUACCGAAUAUGUUUCCAACAAAUACUAUCUUUUGCUUUUUUGAAACUUGACUCAAAACUUGAUGUACCAGAAGGAUGUUGCACGCGAGACCCACGUGUGGGAGAGGCGGAUGUUUCUCAUAGAAAAAUUACAAAACUUGUAAAAAAUCAGUCCAAUUUCGAGUUAAGGUCCAAAAGGCAAAAAUAUGAAUUUUAAAAAAUAUACCUAAUAUUAAUCUUGAUUCAAAGAUCUCGUCAAAACAAAAGAAGGCAGUCAAAACGUUCUCGAAAUCAGACAAUUUGUUUAAAUAUAUGAUCCUUUUUUUGUUUGAAGCAAAAAAAACACAUAGUUAUUUAGAGAAGAGGGAGAUGUGGGUCAAUUUUCAUAAAAUAAAAGGACUGUCUUGCAAUGUUUCAACAAUCCACCUACCAACCUGAUCAUAUCCCUUUGUCUUUCAUCCAAUGGCUCAUAUAGCAACGGAGCAUUCGGUGCAUGAAUUGAGUUGGUGCACCUGAUACGCUCUUAACCAAUGUCAACUUCCUAUCCCUAGGGGAAAAUAUCUGGUACUCCCACCCCUAGCGUGCUCCCGGUGCUCCAAAACUCGGUAGCACAUUUUUAAGUGUUCAAAAAAAUCUGAAAAAAAUCUAGCACAUUGACACAACAUCAAAGUAUGUUGUCAAAAAAUAUGAAACCAAAAUUCGAAACAUAGCUUGAAAAACACAAAUGACAAAUUCGACAGUAAAUAGUACACAACAUAAGUUGGACUUUAGAUUAGGCCCAUUAUCACAUUGAUGUCCAUUUUGUCAUUUUUGUAUCUCAAACAAUGUUUUGAAUUUUGAUUUGAAUUUUUUUAACAACAUACAUUGAUGUUAUGUCAAUGUGCUAGAUUUUUUUAUAUUUUUUUGAACAUUUUAAAAUAUGCUACUGAGAUUGGAGCACCCUAGGGGUGGGAGUACAAGAUAUUUCCCCCUAUCCCUAGCAUUUACGUGCAUGUUAUUUGGUAAAUGAGAUAUUAAUAAUAAUUUAGUAUUGUCUUUGAUCCAAAAUAAGUGACGCAACUUUCAAUUAAGUUUAAUUCAACAUUAGUUUAAAGUUGCGACACUUAUUAUGGAUCGGAGGGAGUAAUAUAUAUAUACCAUAGCUUGGCACAGAACUAGUUAAGGCUUAAUAAACAUUUAAUGGUUAAAGCUAAUAAAAAAUAUGAAAUAAAUUGGGGAGCUCCACUAUAAUAUAAUAAAAUGAUCCAACGGUGUGAUCGUAAAAAUAUGCAUUUAUGUGUCCUUGACGGAAAAAAAUAAGCAUUUCAACUGAUCAACAUAUACUAAACCAUUUGUUCUUUUUGUUCAGGACACAUCCAGUCAUAUUUUUUCAAUCCCUACGUUAGAUCAUGUUAUAUUAUAGAUGUGUUGGUUUAGUAGUUUUUUUUCAGGAGUUUUGAGAACUUUUACACCGUCGAAAAUCUUAACUAGUUCUGUGCUACACUAUUGUAAAAGAAAUCAGUGCUUCAAUAUUUCACUAUAAAGCGAACCAACUUUUAAUUGGAUGGUUAGGAGGACAGUGGUAUCUCCAGCCCAUCAGAGUUCAAGUACUGGUGCUCACAUUUAUCCUGUAUUUAUUUCAGAAAUUUUGGCGAUGCACGUUCAGUGAGAGACGUUUCCGUCAACAAUAUGUCGGCUCAGUCUCUCGAGUGUGCUUAUCUAUAUCUAUAUCUAUACUACUAUAUAGUGUAUGAGUAUUGAAGCAUAUAGGCCGUUGGAUCUUUCCUAUCGGACGGCUGAGAAUCAGCGUGCUGAAAUCUUGAGCAACGUGGCAGUGUAACCACCACCGGAUUUUGUGAUCCAACGGCCAACGUCCAAGGGAUUCGCGGUGGGCCUUAGCGUUGUACCGUGCCCCCUUUUUAUUAAACCGUUGUACUGUGUCAGGUGGCAGGCUUUGAAAAUAAGAUAUAGAAAAUGAUUCAAAGAAUCGGGAGUCUUCUAGGAGUCUCGAACCAUGGCAAUGCAUGUAGGGCAGAGCCCGGAUAAAAAAGAGUGUGCUAAUAUUAGCACCUGAGAUAGACAAAAUGUUUUAGCUAUAAUAGAAUAUAAAAAGGAGGAAAUGGAGAAAAACACAUUUGCUGAGAGGAGGUGCGCACGGUUCCAAAAAGAAGGUGUGCAAAUUUAACAUGUCCGAAAGUAUAUCCUGAACAAAAAGUUCCGGGUGUACAUAUCGUUGCAAGCUUGAAAUACGAGAUAAUUAAUGUUGUGCAUGCAGAAAUAAAUAAGAAAUUAUAUGUCAAACAAAUAUAUGUUUUCUGCCGCUUCAAAAAUUGCAAUUUCUUAAUGAGGCCACUUGCAAAUCGUGAUGCUCUACAAAAAUGUAUACAUCGACCCAGCUUUGUAUUUAGUGCAUCUACCCGUCGUGGAUUGAUUGAGUAUAUAACAUUUUCUUUAUGCAAAUGUAUUUAUAAAAAGUAAUCAGUCAACAUAGAAAUAGUACCUCUUGCAUUUAGAAAAUAUAACUUGCUGUCCUACAAACCAUCACAAAGUGUUUGUGUUUCUCUAAAUUUUCUAUUGAUGUCGAGUUGUUUGUACAAUGAAACAUCCAAAGCAAAUAGAGGAUUAAAAGUAUAGUUUUGAAUAAAGUGUACUUCAUAUCUUGUAUUAAUGACAGUAAAAAAUGGAAUAAACUAUCUAUGUUAAGAGAAAAUAAUGAAAGAAUAGUAAAUAAAAAAUGAAGAAAGAAUAUUAUGGAUAAUAAAUAAACCUAGCAGGACAUGGAAUAAACCCAUGCAAGAAUUCCGUAGGAAAUAUCGCCAUCUAUAUGUUAAGAAAGAAAAAAAAACAUACCUUUUGACCGAAUUAAAGGUUCAGUGAGUAGCUAGAUAAGUCAUAACUUAGUUUUGCCGCACAAUACACUUGAUAGUCAUUUAGGAAGGGACUAAGAUUUUGUUACCACCCCCAUAUAUGUCACAUCUGUCUUUGAUGGUAUAAUUUUAACUUUUAAGUGAUUAAUUGUAGUGAAAUGAUGUAAACAUUCGGAGCUAAGUUAUUUAUGCAAUCUUGACAAUCGUUGGUUGUACAUGCGAAGGAUGUGCCAUUUGCUAUUAGGGGCUUCUUUGGAUCACAGGAUUAGAAAACAAAGGAAUUCAAAAAACACAGAAAUUUGACGGGAUUGUAGGUGCAAAACAAAGGAUUACAAAAUAGAGGAAAACUACAAGAAUGGUCAUUUGGAUGGAACACAGGAAAAACACAGGAAAAGUGCCUCGAUCCUACGCGAAUCAGUGUAAAAAAGAGGUUAUAGUGGAUGUUGAAAUUCCUAUAGGAUUGAGGUGUAGGAAUGCAUCCAUAGGAAUUUUGGAGGUGUGGUUCCUUUGAUCCAAAGGGCUUUUUUAGGAAAAAAAUCCAAUGGAUUGGAAUCCUCCAAUAUUCCUAUGAAAAUCCUUCAAUCCAAAGAGGCCCUAGAAGUAGGGUGUGACUGUGUGUUCAUAGAGGUGAGUGUACAAUGUUCUUAAAAAAACAUUUCACUACGAAGAAAACAUCAACUGCAUGGCAGGUCAAUCAUAUCCUAUAAUUUCUUUGAUGAGAAAUGGGCAAAUCCUAACUGACACUUCUUCUGCCAAAAUGCUGCCAGCAUUUCGCACAGGUAGCUCACGUACGAUUUGUUUUGGGCCGGCCCAUUUAGAGAGCAAACGGUACUAUGCCGGUUUGGUUUCUCCAAAAAAAACAUAAUACCGAUUUGGGGACAUUUCCAGACCCGUUUUGGGAACCUUCUUGGAUGUUUCGGUCUAGCAUUAUUUUUCUCUAUUUUUAUACCAUUUUGUUCUAUUUUUUCUUUUUCCCAGUUUUCUUAACAAAUGUUUGGACUUUUAAGAAAAAAAUCAUGUUUUAAUAAAUUUUAAAAUUUCUGAAAAAAUAUAUGAAAAUUUUAAAGAAUGUUCACAAAUUUUGAUAAAAUGGUCACAAAACAUUGAGAAAACGAAAAAACUAACGCCCACACGUGUGGCAUCUUACACAUCGCCCACACGUCUCCUUUACCACUCAUUUUGCCACAUGUGAACAAAUGACAUCAGCAGAAUUUUUUUGGGUUUUCGGCUUAAAAAUAUUUUAUCUCCUAAUUAAAAAUCAAAUUAAAAAUUCGUUUUCAUCAUUAAAUCGGUCUCGACGAGAUCUUCAAAACUAGACCCCAUAUUGAUAUGUUUCGACAAUUGUUUUUUACUCAAAAGUUGUUAUGAUGUUUACACUGUAGUUGCCAUAAUGCUUAAAUUAAAGUCAAUUUUAGUUUGUAGAGUAUGGCAAUUUUAGUGUUUUGAUGAUGGCAACUCCAGUACUUUGACCACUAAAAUUAUUUUGUGUAUGAACCAUGGCAACUUUAAGUGCAUGUAUCAUGGCAAUUUUAGUUUAUGGUUCAUGGCAAGUCUAUUUUCUUAAUUUUUCGUUUUAUAAAUGUCAAAAUUUACUUUUAAAUGUAGAAGAAAAUAGUUGUAACAUAUCAUGACAACUUUAGUACGAACAUCAUGAUAAUUCAUGUGCAUGUAUGCGGUGACGUGGCACAGUCUGUGUGUUAUAGGGCGUGUGGGCGGAUUCCGCUUCGACCACACGUGUGGAUGUUAGCAUUGUCCAAAAAAAUCACGUUUUGUAGUGGAUUCCAAAAGAUGCCAACCGUUUGGUAAUCUACUACUCUCGAGCUGUUGAACAUAUGCAAUGUUUUUCUUUUUCUUUUCUUUUUGCGCCGAAUCUAGCACGGACUCCUACCGUAUCGUGCGCAAUAGCCUGAAGAAAGAUAGGGUCACGUGGAUUUCCCUAUUCUUGCAUUCUGACGUCGCAGCAGAUUGCAUAUUUAUCAAUUUUCUUAUUAAAUACACCUAUCCAUCUGGUACGUUUGCAAGCUUCUAUCUACUACGAAUCUUGGACUUCCAAAGUCUAUAAAUACUUCAUAUCCUCUCUGACAUAACAAUUCUUGCUUCAUAGCAAACCAAGUGGGGAAAGAAAAGUAUACCUGAAACUUCGCCCAACGCCACCGAUCAUGGGUGCAAGAAAUGCUAUCAUGUGCUUGGUGUUGAUUCUUGUAUUGUUCGCGGAUCAUGGCUCCGCAGGUUUCUGCUCCUCCCUCCGUCUCGGCGACAACCGACUACAGGUUCUUCAUCAUGGAUAUUCAUGUUCAUAAAUGCGUGUCAAUUCAUUGCAGGAUGCUGGGUGAAUAUCAAUGGCGGCCCACUCUGCAUAGGCUUUCUGUGCAAAGCGACUUGCUUGAUUGCGGAGAAGAUGUUUAAUUCCGUUCUCAAGGAGCACAGGUGCGAGGGGACACCGCUCAAUAGCGAAUGCAUGUGCUAUCUCUGCGACAAAUAGUCGGUUAACAUGGGGGCUGAAGAUAGCCUCGUGAUUACAAAGUGUCAAACAAAGGGAAUGAAUAAUUUCUACUUAGUAGAAACAAGUAUCCUCAAAUCCGAUGCAGUUUCCUGCAUUUUCAAAUGCCGCGUCAUCAAUAUGCAUGCAUACUCCAAGAUUUCUCUGCAAAACAACAACAGGCAUGUGGAUGUCAUGUCAAUCGAUGUACUUUCAUGGACGAAAAGGCAGCUUCCUUCCUCACUGCACUUGAGCUUGUUUCACGGGGAUCAUGUUUUUCCCUGUCAAGAGUUAUAGGUAGUCGGCAACAGAACUACUCCCUCCGUUUCAAAAUACUUGUCAUCAAAAUGAAUAAAAAUGAAUGUAUCUAAAACUAAAAUAUAUCUAGAUAUUACAGACUUUCAAGAAAUUCACACAUUAAUUAGAGUAAAUCAAAACAUAUGAGCCGUUUAUGUGGUGGGGCCGACUUAUUACUGUCUAGAUUAACCAAUCUAAUCAGAAAAAAAAUAUCAGCCAUUUAUCUUGCGGGAACAAAUUAUUAUGGUCUAAUAUUUUCCCUCUUCAUAGGAAGCCUAAACAGCAACGACCAUCUCAAUCUAUCUUUCUGUCAAAAAAAAAACAUCAAAAAAAGAAUCUGUCGACUCUCUCCCCCUGUACGUGAAGACCAUAUCUAUCGACUCUCUCUCUCAAACGAAGGCAAGCUAAUUUGGGCAUGGAUCUCGUUUUCUCAAGAAUUUUAUUGAAUCAAAAUUAUUUUUUCUGGAUCACAUUUGUAUUCUCGGACUAUGUGUUCUUGAUGUCUUUUCUUGCCGCUUUACACUUGAAUCCACCACAACUUUCUCCUUUGGAUUCCAGUUUAAUUUUUUGGGUGCUCUUGAGGUAUUGAAUGCCGCCGAAGGUCUCGAAGAGCAAGACUAGCUACUUCGGGGCGCGGGUGAAGCCGUCUGGGACUUCGAUGCUGAGUUCCAGUGCGACGUGGCUGCACGUGGGCACGGCGUCGCCACUUGGCGUUUGAGGAGGAGGAGGAGAGGAGAAGGACAAGAAGGACAAGGAGGAGGAGAAGCGGAAGCAGAAGAAGGAGAAGCAGAAGGAGAAGGAGGAGGAGGAGGAGGAGGAGGAGGAGGAGGAGGAGGAGGAGGAGAAGAAGAAGAGUCUGGCGAAAGUGACAAAGCGGCAUUGGCGGGGUUCACGCGGGAGCAUCCAGAGUAUGUCCAGGCCAAGCAGGAGUCCCAUUGGAAGCGUGACGCCGAGCAGACGAAGAAGAAGAAGACGGUGAAGAAGGAGGAUGAGGUCGGCCCCUCGACUAUGAUCCCAUCGAGUUUGACUCGUCGGGCUAGGAUGACUCUGAGGAGGAGGAGUUUGAGACGCUCGACGACUCCGACGACCCUAUCAAAGAGGAAUUCUGGGAGCGGCUAGAAAACGACAAUGACUAGUUUUAUGUAUUAUGUAGUUCAAGUAGACUCGGAGGAGUAGUAGCUUGGUGUGAUGUAGCAGUUUGAACUGUGUUUUUGUUUUGUUUUAUGAACUAUGCUUGCUUGAAAUGAACUUGGUAUGUUUGAAUUUAUGUUUGAAAUGCUGAAGUAGUUCAACUUGUUUUACAUCAUCUAUUGGAGCGCUAGUUUACAUCAUCUGUUGGAGUUGAUCUAUUUUUAGUGAUGUAAAAAACACUUUUUGGUGAUGUAUACUCCCUCCGUCCGGAAAUACUUGUCGGAGACAUGGAUAAAAACUAAUGUAUCUAAAACUAAAAUACGUCUAGAUACAUCCAUCUCACCGACAAGUAUUUUCGGACGGAGGGAGUAUUUUACACCCACCACUUUUUGGUUUAUGAAAUACAUCAUCUAUUGAAGAUGCUCUUAGUUGCAAUUGUUGACGGGUAAAUUUGAGAGCAAACGAAUGGGAUCGCCCUGUCAAUUAUUGUUGACCGCUAAUUGCGGCCCUAUCAUGAAUCUUCAGAGUAAAUUGUAAGAAGAUGCUUUCAACAAAAAAUUGUAAAAAGAAACAUUUAUUGGUAUUGUAGAAAGAAACGAACCAAGGGAACAGGUGUUAUGUAUUUCGCUUGAUGUAGAGGCUGGGGUUAUUCACCCUUUCUGAAAAAGGGAACCAGGUUACUCAUUAGGGCAUCUAUAGUUGGACUCAACCAAUUCGAACCUGCGGGCGUGUCUAGACAUGUCCGCGGACAGUGGCGGCCCGACUCUCAUUUGUUCGCCAUUCUAAUCACAACCUUUAUUUGCAAACUCUCAAAUCCAUACUAAUCACGCAACGUUCAUUUUAUCAUACAUAGUACAUGUUUACAUGGAACAAACAAAUUGCCUUGAUCUAUUUGUCAUCAUAAGAGAUGUUGAUGACCCCUGGCCAUAUGGACCAACCUCGUUGUAAGGGCAUAUUUAUCCCCAAGGUGUUUUGGUGAUUGAUGACAAUGCGUUUGCGGACUAAUCGUGUGCCUUGAGUAUUCCAGAAAUUUCAUCGCUAGGCACAAUACGGUUGGGUGCCCCUCGAAGACUGUUGAACACGGCGUCUUUUCUACGUUUCUUUUUGGUGGAUUUGAGUCGUGGGAAAGCCGUACUAUUAAAAGGGGGUCCGCGUCGGAAAGGUUUGGGUUGAAUCAUCACGUACACGUCUCCUUCUUGUCCCCUCCUUUUCCCUUGGAGAUUCCUCCGCUUUCUCGCCUCACUGGUUCUGGCUGCUGAGUUGGGCCGCAGUAGUACUGCUCCCAGGAGAGCGGUAGUACCGUAGGCACCAGCGGUAGUACCGUGCGGUGGUGCGGUAGUACCGCAGGUGCCCACAGUAGUACCGCUCCCCUGGAGCUGCACUACCGCUGCCCACCAGGCUAGUACCGCUCCUUCGCGGUAGUAGGGGCGGAUAUAAUUUUUACACCGCACCUACCGCAGUAGUAUCGCUUUCGCUCCGCGGUAGUACCGUGCUAUGUUGUCAGGCAGUAGUACCGCCCCUCGGCAGUACUACUGUGUCGGGUUUUUGCUUCUUCCAUUUCUUUGUAGAAGUAGGCACGGAUGUUUCCUCCCCCCUGGCUAGGGGAUUUCUGCCUCGCGGUAGUACUGCAUGGAGGCGCGGUAGUACCGCGCUCGCGGAAAUACUGCCCUCAGCUCCUGCGCGUCAGAUCUGACCUUGCUGUUGCUGGGGUUGCGGCAGUACCGCGGGCCUGUAUAGUAGUACCGCGAGGCCCUGCGGUAGUACCGCUGGCCCGGGCUGGUAGGUGGGUAACGGUUGGAUCUUUGUCCUACACUAUAUAAGGGGUCCCCUUCUUCCUCGUUGACUCAUCUCUUCCAACCCUAAGCUCCAUUAUUGCUCUAAACUCCAUUUUCGCCCGAUCUCACUCCCUAGCCAAUCAAAAUUGUUGAUUUGUUCGGGAGUGGUUGAGAAGGCCUCAGUCCACACUUCCACCAAGAGAAAUUUGAUUCCCCCCACUAAUCCCUUGCGGAUCUUGUUACUCAUGGGUGUUUGAGCAUCCUAGAUGGUUGAGGUUGUUGGGGAACGUAGUAAUUUCAAAAAAAAUUCUACGCACACGCAAGAUCAUGGUGAUGCAUAGCAACGAGAGGGGAGAGUGUUGUCUACGUACCCUCGUAGACCGGAAGCGGAAGCGUUAGCACAACGCGGUUGAUGUAGUCGUACGUCUUCACGGCCCGACCGAUCAAGCACCGAAACUACGGCACCUCCGAGUUCUAGCACACGUUCAGCUCGAUGACGAUCCCCGGACUCCGAUCCAGCAGAAUGUCGGGGAAGAGUUCCGUCAGCACGACGGCGUGGUGACGAUCUUGAUGUUCUACCGUCGCAGGGCUUCGCCUAAGCACCGCUACAAUAUUAUCGAGGAUUAUGCUGGAGGAGGGCACCGCACACGGCUAAUAGAUCUCAAAGAUCAAUUGUUGUGUCUUUGGGGUGCCCCCCUGCACCCGUAUAUAAAGGAGCAAGGGAGAGGGGCGGCCGGCCAGGAGGAGGCGCGCCAGGGAGGAGUCCUACUCCUACCGGGAGUAGGACUCCCUCCUUUCCUUGUCCAACUAGGAGAGGGGGAAGGAAGGGAGAGAGGAGAGAAAGGAAAGGGGGGGGGGGCGCCGCCCCUUCCUCCUUGUCCAAUUCGGACUAAAGGGGGAGGGGGCGCGCAGCCUGCCCUGGCCGCCCCUCCUCUACUCCACUUUGGGCCCAUGAGGCCCAUUAACCCCCGGGGGGGUUCCGGUAACCCCCGAUACUCCGUUUUAUAUCCGAUAACUCCCGGAACCAUUCCUGUGUCCGAAUAUAGUCGUCCAAUAUAUCAAUCUUUAUGUCUCGACUAUUUCGAGACUCCUCGUUAUGUCCGUGAUCACAUCCGGAACUCCGAACAACCUUUGGUACAUCAAAAAAAUAUAAACUCAUAAUGAAACUGUCAUCGUAACGUUAAGCGUGCGGACCCUACGGGUUCGAGAACAAUGUAGACAUGACUGAGACACGUCUCCGGUCAAUGACCAAUAGCGGAACCUGGAUGCUCAUAUUGGUUCCUAGAUAUUCUACGAAGAUCUUUUAUUGGUCAGACCGCAUAACAACAUAUGUUGUUCCCUUUGUCAUCGGUAUGUUACUUGCCCGAGAUUUGAUCGUCGGUAUCUCAAUACCUAGUUCAAUCUCGUUACCAGCAAGUCUCUUUACUCGUUCCGUAAUACAUCAUCCCGCAACUAACUUAUUAGUUGCAAUGCUUGCAAGGCUUAUGUGAUGUGCAUUACCGAGAGGGCCCAGAGAUACCUCUCCGACAAUCAGAGUGACAAAUCCUAAUCUCGAAAUAUGCCAACCCAACAAGUACCUUCGGAGACACCUGUAGAGCACCUUUAUAAUCACCCAGUUACGUUGUGACGUUUGGUAGCACACAAAGUGUUCCUCCGGUAAACGGGAGUUGCAUAAUCUCAUAGUCAUAGGAACAUGUAUAAGUCAUGAAGAAAGCAAUAGCAACAAACUAAAUGAUCAAGUGCUAAGCUAACAAAAUGGGUCAAGUCAAUCACAUCAUUCUCCUAAUGAUGUGAUCCCGUUAAUCAAAUGACAACUCAUGUCUAUGGUUAGGAAACAUAACCAUAUUUGAUCAACGAGCUAGUCAAGUAGAGGCAUACUAGUGACACUAUGUUUGUCUAUGUAUUCACACAUGUAUUAUGUUUCCGGUUAAUACAAGUCUAGCAUGAAUAAUAAACAUUUAUCAUGAUAUAAGGAAAUAAAUAAUAACUUUAUUAUUGCCUCUAGGGCAUAUUUCCUUCAGUCUCCCACUUGCACUAGAGUCAAUAAUCUAGAUUACACAGUAAUGAUUCUAACACCCAUGGAGCCUUGGUGUUGAUCAUGUUUUGCUCGUGGAAGAGGCUUAGUCAGCGGGUGUGCAACAUUCAGAUCCGUAUGUAUCUUGCAAAUUUCUAUGUCUCCCACUUGGACUAAAUCCCGAAUGGAAUUGAAGCGUCUCUUGAUGUGCUUGGUUCUCUUGUGAAAUCUGGAUUCCUUUGCCAAGGCAAUUGCACCAGUAUUGUCACAAAAGAUUUUCAUUGGACCCGAUGCACUAGGUAUGACACCUAGAUCGGAUAUGAACUCCUUCAUCCAGACUCCUUCAUUUGUUGCUUCCGAAGCAGCUAUGUACUCUGCUUCACAUGUAGAUCCCGCCACGACGCUUUGUUUAGAACUGCACCAACUGACAGCUCCACCGUUCAGUAAAAACACGUAUCCGGUUUGCGAUUUAGAAUCGUCCGGAUCAGUGUCAAAGCUUGCAUCAACGUAACCAUUUACGAUGAGCUCUUUGUCACCUCCAUAUACGAGAAACAUAUCCUUAGUCCUUUUCAGGUAUUUCAGGAUGUUCUUGACCGCUGUCCAGUGAUCCACUCCUGGAUUACUUUGGUACCUCCCUGCUAGACUUAUAGCAAGGCACACAUCAGGUCUGGUACACAACAUUGCAUACAUGAUAGAGCCUAUGGCUGAAGCAUAGGGAACAUCUUUCAUUUUCUCUCUAUCUUCUGUGGUGGUCGGACAUUGAGUCUUACUCAACUUCACACCUUGUAACACAGGCAAGAACCCUUUCUUUGCUUGAUCCAUUUUGAACUUCUUCAAAA
RNAcentral lists this long non-coding RNA (45550 nucleotides) under Triticum aestivum (bread wheat). RNAcentral describes it as "long non-coding RNA (TAES_LNC024009)". The stretch from base 41173 to 41297 matches the Rfam family "MIR1120/MIR1122 microRNA precursor family". Lineage: Eukaryota; Viridiplantae; Streptophyta; Magnoliopsida; Poales; Poaceae. The record is from RNAcentral.